UUAGGAUUUGAUUAGGAUUUGAUUUGGAUUAAGAUUUGAUUAGGGUUUAAGGUUUAGGAUUUGGUUGGGAUUAGGAUUUGGUUAGGAUUUAGAGUUAGAAUUUGACUAGGAUUUGACUAGGAUUUGGAAUUGAUUAGGAUUUGUUAGGGUUAGGAUUUAUCUAAAAUUUGACUAGGGUAUGUUUAGAGUUUGUCUAGGGUUUGAUUAAGGUUGGAUUAGGAUUAGGAUUUGGUUAGAAUUUAAGGUUUAUUUAGAUUUUUGUUAGGGUUUGACUAAAUUUUCUUUAAUAUUCUUUUAUAUUUCUUUAAGAUUUUCUUGUGUUUCUUUUAUAACUUCAAUAAAAUUUAAUUGAGCUUUUUUAAUGUUUGAUUAUGAUUAUUAACAUUUAAUUAUAAUUUCUCUAUAAUCCUAUUGGAUUGUUAAGACCUUUUGUUUCAAUUUUCUUUUACCUUCCACAGCCAGGUCUCUGGUGCAUUCUCAAGCAAGACUUCACGUAAUAUGACAACGUGAUGAGCUGUAUGUUGUCUUGAGCGUUGGUAUUCACGACGUUGGAAUAGGCAGUUAUCACACUUCACAGCUUGGCUAAUGGCUUCGUUGAACAUUCACGAAUUGAGAAGAGAUAAUAACAAAUCCUUCACGUCAUCCCUCAAGUUAUAAUAAAAUUGACUCAUGAAUGCUUCCUCAUCCCAAUUGAUGCCUCAGGCUAAUUGUCUAAAAUAUGAUGCUUAGACUAACACGGAGCAUGUCCCUUGUCAUAGCGACUGGAUCUUUUUUGUAGCCCAUCAUGCCUUGUCAUAUUCGCCAAAUGCUUCCGCAAACGCUUCCAAAAAAGUUUCAAAGUUGUUCAAAAUUGACGAUCUUUUUUCAAACAAAGGAGCAAACCAUGAUAGAGCUUGCCUCGUGAGCAAAGUUCCAACAAGUCCAACACAUAACUCCUCCGUCGGAUAGCAUUCUGGCUGUAAAGCUAUUAUCAAUCUAAUUUGAUUAACAAAACCUCAAAACUUGGAACGUGUACUAUCAAACUUAUCCGGAAGACUAAUUUGGAGCUCCUUUUGUUGUAAGACCAACGAUUCUUGUUGAAUUAGAGGUAAAGCUGCUUCUCUUGAUACUGAAGCUUGAAGCUCAUGAAUCUUCGAUUAUGCCAUCUCGGAUGCUCCAUCAUUAUGAAGUCUUGCAAUGAUUCCUUCAAUCUCUACAAUUUUCCAUGAUAACGUAGCAAGAGCAUACAUAAUGGCAUCCAACUUGGACUCUGAACUUUCAGUCAUACUAAUAUCUUGACCUCAGGCCAUUCUAAGAGAAGGAUAGAAAUAAUUCUACAAGAAGAUAGUAUUGGUUUAGAGGAGGGUAUUCCAUAACUUCUAAAGCACCUUAAAAGCUUCAAAAAGAUGGAUAAUCCACUCUCUCCAAGAAAGAUAAGACUCCAAUAUUAUAAUAGAAGAAAUAUCAGUUUACAGGAAGGUAAUCUGCAACCUCUAAAAUGCCAGCACCUUCAAGCAGAGGGAUAAUCCACAUUCCAAUAAGAAAGAACUAGCUUUGAUAUAAAAGAUGAGUGUAGUCUUGACAAACUGUCACAAAUUUAGAAUACUGAUUGAAAAUCUAAACAAGAAGCUCAAGAAGAAUCAGAAAGAACUAGAUUAAUCAGAUGAGUAUAAAAACAACACUAGAGAGAUGAGCUAGAACUUGAAGUGGUGUGUUGUCAAGACUAAGGAUCCCCUCAAUCUCGGCUCCUAUAUAUACUACAAACUAAGAAGCUUCUCAAGUAGCUUCCAUAAGCUAGGAAGCUUCUCAAGUAGCUUCAAUAAACUAGGAAGCUUCUCAAGCACCUUCUACGAGCUUGAAAACUUUUCAAGUAGCUUCUACAAACUACAAAGCUUCUUUAGAACCUUCUAAAAUCUUCUACAACUUUCUAGUGUAUGUCCUUGAGAGCUUGUUGGAAUGUAUCCUUAUUAAGGUUUGAUUUCAAGAUGACAUAUCGACUUGAAAAAUAAUAAGGUUUGUCAAACAUUCUUUCUAAACAUUCUUAUCUUGCAUCAAAAGAAGGAGAUGUAUCUUUUCAUCAACAAAGUAUGAUUCUCUUAAAGCCCGAGUAUUUUUAUCAGGUCAUUUGAUUACUAUGGGUACAAGUAUUGUAAGUUGCAGGCCGGCGCAUUUGCCCUGGCAUGUCGCUCGCCGCCAUCAACGCACCCCCUAUUCUUGCACACCGUGUGCACAGCUUUGACUGACGAUUGACCGAAACCCUCGUGAAUUGGACAUGACGGAGAAAUCCGACAGCGUCAUGGCGUCGCGGUUGUAUCCUCUGCUUAUCAUCGCUCAGCCCCGAAAACCAGCGUUCCUCUAUUAUCCAAAAGAAGCUUGAGUGAAUUAAUCCAUAACGUGUGUGGGGAUGCGCAGACCACGAGCCUUGGACACGAUCCGAACUCUCGUCAAAUAUUUCCUUCCACGAUGAGAUCCUCAUCAUAGUUUGAUGGAUCAGGUGUAGAAUAAAUUUCAUGUAUAGGAUUCCAACUCUCGUCAAUUAGGCACCUUCAUGUUGAUAAUCUUGUUUAAGUUUGAAGAUCCACGUGUAGAAAAAAUUUCGUAAGUAGAGAUUUGGUCAUGUCGAGAUCAUUACUGAUCUCUUUUAAUAGAACGAGGAUAUCAGACAACUCUGAACAAUUGUACGAUCAAUUCUCUAGCGAAUUCUCAUUAAUUCAGUAUCUUGUUAAAAUCGUUAGAAUUUAUGAAAAAUUGUUAAGAUAUACUAUUACACUUUCUGAAGCUUGUAAGUGUGUUGUAAAUUGUUUAUUGUAUGUUUUGGUUAUAAGAUGAGGUUGAAUCUGGUGUGCGGAUUUUUGCAUCUAGUCAUUGCGGUCAUUUGAUUACUAUGGGUACAAGUAUUGUAAGUUACAAACUACCAUCUUUAUACAAGUAUAAGUUUUUUUUUAAUUCAGUGUAUUCAAUCCUUCAAAUUGUUACAGUGUGUUCAAAACAGAAACUCCUUAUUAUUCAAUCAUCUAUUAAUGCAUUCUAGAAAAGUGUAAAAAAGAGAUUUCUAUGUGGAAUAAUUGCGAAAUCACAUUUUUCAGCAGUAGGAUAUAACAGAACCUGGUUAUGAUUCAUUAUCUUAUCAUAUUUAGAGAUUUCAUUUGUACAUUGAAUAUCGUAAAAUAUAUUUUUGUAACAUGGUUUGAAAAAUAAUUGAACCUGAUCUUUAAAUUUUUGUGGUUCCCCAAGUAUGAUUUUUGUGAGUUUAAUGCUUCUAUUUUUGGGGUUUUAUAACUUUUAAUCUAAUCUUCGGCAUUGUUUUAAAUUGUGGCAUGUAUAUUUUCAACAACUACGUCUUGUCACUAGAUUAUUUCUGAAUAUCCUGUGUUAAACUUUAUAGAUAGAACAUCUAUAUAUUAUAUAUUUGCAAAAAUGCAUUUUCAACAAUGAUAUUAACAAGAAUAGAUAUUUUACAAUUGAUGAUUGCCAAUAAAAUUAUACUUACAAUUUAUUUGUUGUGUGAAAAAAUCACUGUGAAACUUCAAAUAUUAUUUAUAAAAAAUUCAAAAUCUAAAAAAAUAUUCCAAGUUUUUUUAUUUUUUAAUAUUUAUUUAGAACGAAACAAAAUUAAAGAACAAAAAAAGUUACACAUUUCAAAAAGUAAAGUAAAUUUUAUGCUCAUAUUAUCAAGAAUUUAUUUUGAAAAUAGCUUUUGUAACCGACAGCAAAUAAAUAAUUUGUUCCAAUAGUUACAUUGUGUGCAUAGAUUUUUAAAAUACGGUAUCUUUUGCAAAGAAUGCACAAUUGAAGAAAAGAAAAGAAGAACAAAAGAACAAAAGUGGAUCAGUGUAAACACUCUAAUUGAUUCUAACACCUAAAUUUUUUUAAAGUAUAAUGCCAUCAAGAACUUUUAUUUAUUAAUUUUUAGUUUUAGUAAUAUUGCUAUAAGGCCAACAUCUCAAAUGUUUAUCAUUUAUAUAAAAGAAAACAAAGGAAAAGAACAUGUAUACUGAAAUUAUUUUGUAAGACAUUAAUUUUUUCUCAAUGUUUUAUUCAAAUUCUUGAAUUGCUUACAUUAUUUCGGAUUUCACACAUUUCAUGGUUUUUCGUAAAUUCUCUUAAAAAAUAACUAAAAAAAUCGAAAUAAAGAAACUUCACACACUACAUUUUGAGGCCAAUUUCAGAGAAACAAAUGAAAACAUAUGAUACCAUCAUCCAUCCACACACCCACCCAUCCGUAUAUACGAAUGAAUUUAUCAGGAGAUGACGGCAUUCAUCCAUAGGCCGUGCGAGCUUCCCUUCUGUGACAGAAGGAAUGUUGCAAUGGAAGGGUUGAGAGAGAGCCUCCUCCUCCACCAUACCCUUUCAAUCACGGCCCACCGCCCUCAUUCUCGCGUCCUCUGCAUCCUCGUCUAUUGUGCACGCGACGUCAACAAUUCCCUUCCUGUGAUGUCGCAUCGGCUUCACGCCACCGAAGUCUCCUUGUUUGUGGACACCAUGUGAGGCAUAGCUGCUCGCGAUCGGUGGCGAUCAUUGCGGGCUGCAAGAGCAGCUCUCCUCCGCCGUCCUCUACGUCAGCGUCGAAUUUCUUCCGAUGGUGAGGCCCCUGGUUGCGAAAGCGCUUUGUUAGCUUUGAAUGUCGCAGAUCGGGAAGAGUGAUCGGAAGUGUAUGCGAUUGGCAUUGUUACGGCGGUGGAUGAGAACUGUCCGGAUAUCGUGCACAUUGAAUGUGCGUAACGUGCCGAUGUCGCUUUUUUUUCGAUUGAUUAGACAAUAACGUUAGCUUGUGUCUUAGCUUAUUUCAUUACAUUGUGAUCGCAGUGGAAUUUCCGUGAGGUAGUAAUUCAGAUUUUGGCUCUAUAUUUUUAGAAGUGCGAAAUAGGAUCCAUCUUGGUUUGUUAAAUUCUUCCACAUUAUAUUUUAUGAGAUUAGUGGUGAUUUAUACCUGUGGGAGUUUCAAAGGAUUUUUAUGAUUCCUUCAAUGCUUACGCUGGCUUCCAGUGUUAUUAUUAUUUUUAUUAUUUUUUGUUUUUAUUUUAUUUUUUUGUUUUUGUUUUAAAAGUCACUCUAAAAUUCACUUGAUAUUGAUCCUUUCGUUUGUUCCUUCGUUCUGUCAAAAUGAUUAUUUUGACUUGUAUUUUGUAUAACUUCUCUUAUUUGUCAAUAUUAUUUCUGCUGAUACGCUCCACAUUAUCCCUGAGAUUCUUGUGGUUAGUUGUGAGUUACUUGCUAACCAUGGGCAUUUCAUGAUUACGCGGCAAUUUGCACUGUAGCAAGAGCAACCAGCUCACUAGCUCAAUGUCUUUCUCGUCCUUUUCUCCUUUUGGAAAUGACAACAUUGUUAUCUCUGGGAAGCAAUACAGUGGUUGUAUGCCAUUCCACGGAAGUACGUUGUUUCUACUGUAAGCUAUUCAUGGAAAGUGUUGAUGAAUUUGUCUUCAUUUUGCAGUGAGGCACUAAGAGUCAAGUCUAUUCCCUAACAAUAUUUCUUUGAUUUGGUGUUUGUAGGAGAAAGAUACUACCACAGAUGUUGAGGAAGAGGAGCCUCUCCCAUCUCCAGUUCCAGGAGUGGAGAUGCUUCCACCUGAUAUCGCAGAUAAAAGGUUUGUUUUGUUUUUUGUUUUUAUUUUGAGUAUAUACUAUCUUCUCUGCGUAAGGGAUUGAAUGAGUUUCGAUUCCACGAAUGUUCUGAUUAUUCAACGAAUGCAACUUGAUGUGUGAGAAGAUUUCUGCAUUUUUCCCAAUGUGGAGUUUUCUGGAUACGGAACCUGCAAUCCGUAGAUUUGUAAUCAUCAGCCGGUUAAGUUGAAAGGUUCAUGAAAAUUGCAGAUUCGCACUGACUUUGGAGACAAUGAAGAAUGAUGAAAAUUAUCUAUGGAUGGAACUCAGCAAAUGUCGCAUCACCGACAGUCGUAUACGGAAAGUGAGGGCGACAUUCUCACACUUCGGCCAAAUGAUACCUUGCUAUUCUUGUUGAUGGUAUUCAACGCUAGAUUCCAGUGUUUAAAUAAUGUUUUCGUGCACCAUAAUUUUGACUCAUUUAUUUUUCUGUGUGCUUUAAUGGUGAUAAUGAAUGAUGUCUCUUUACAUGUAAAAAUUAGCUUAUUAGCGAUUGCAGGGGCUUUGUUGGACUUGGUGCAGCUCUUUGCAGCUUUGAAGGAUAAUACGUCGAUGACAUCUAUCGAUCUUUCAAACAAUGUGAUUACAGACGAAGGCAUGAGCUUUUUAACGGGAGCUUUAGCUGUUGGAAUGGUACCAAACCUUCUUCGUAUAAAUCUUCAGGGUAAUCCUAUCAGCAGCAAAGGCCGAGAGCUACUUGCUGGACUGUAUCAUUUACGUAAGCAGCUCUUGGUAAGUCAAAUAACUUCAAUUAACUCCGUGUAGAUUAUAUGUUUAUCAUCGAUUAUUAUUUUAUUUUAUAAUUUUUUAAUAGAAUUGUGAAUUUUCUUGCGGUCUGCUCAAAUUCCAUCGCAACCUUCAUUGGGCUUGACUACCGUGUGAAAUGGUGUUAUUCGAUUGUCAAUUCUGCUACCACGGUCUAUUAGGAUUUCAUUAGAACUUGAUCAUUUCACUUCAACAGCUUUGAGUUGGUGUUGUGCUUGGCUGGGUUACAUAAGUACCUUGUUGACGAGCUUAUGAUGAUCUGAGAUAACCUGGUGACGUUUGUUCUUGCAUGAGUCCAGGUCGAGUAUGAUAUGGUUGAAGAACCAAGUGAAGGAGAAUCAGAUUUGUCUGUAGCAGAUGAUUUGCAGGAAAACUUUCCAAGAAGCAAAUGGAUUGGGAAUUGCACCGAGGCAAAUGGACCAGAAGACCCAGAAGCUCAAGACUUGUUUUCUUCUGCACAACGGCAGCGAGCUUGCGAUCCCCAUCUUCUAGAAGAGCAGGUAGGAAGUUCCCAGCAUCUAGAAGAGCAGCUAUUAAUUACAAAGCAGGGAGAGCCGGUAUUAACUGAGCAACAAGAAGAGUAGGUAUCAAUUGGGUGAUAGAAAGGAUAGGUAUAAAGGAAUAGUAUUCGCUGUUGUUUAAAAGGAGUAAAUAGCAGCUCUAAGCAGCGUGUAAGUCUUUUUCUGAAGAUUAAGUCGUGUUCAGCAAUAACAACAAUAUGAUUAAUCGCACUGACCUAAUCAUAUAAAUGAACUACGCGUGCGGUGUUGAAGCCUGACUCUGAAACAAAGAAGCAAUAUGUAGUCAAUUUCAAUCAUUAUCGCGUUAUCCUUAUUUACAACUGCCAUCCUGGUUUGAAGUUGUAUGGGAGUAUCUAGGAUCUCUUCUUAUUAGAGACAAUUUGGUCAAUCUGGAUGUGGCCGUAGAGUUGUUAUUCACCAACUUAUUCAGUAUUUUCCUAUGCUCAUCCGCAAAAACUAUGGUAUUGACAUCAUUGGGAUGCAGGCUGAGUUGUUGAUGCAAGUAUUGCAGCAGAGUGCAACCAAAAGCAUGUCACCAGCAGAGCUCGCUUCGAAUUUGAAGCAAUUGGGAGGGGUCUUAACUCAUUUGUUGGAGAUUCACCGAGAAAAGUUGCCGGAAUGGGCAUCUGCUGACCAACUUCCAAAGGUUUGUUUUUAAUUGACUUCACUCCUUCUUGGAUGUUAAAGGUAUUAUACACCUGAAUUAUUCUUUAUUGACUUAAAAAAAUUUCUCUCCAUAUUUUGUGUAGCUUCUUCUUUUAACGGUCUCUGCUAGACACUAUAAACAAAAAUUGCUUUUAAAGUUCUGAGCUAAUUUGAAAACCACGACUAAGUUGUAUGAAGUUGGAGGAAUGUGGCAUGCUUGUAACUCAACUUUUGUGUCCUAUGACUUCGACAUGGAGCUUAUGUCUAAGUACUGAAUACUCAGAGGUUUGUGGUUUUAUUCUGCUGAUCUGAGCAGGGUCUAAAGGAGGUAGUGGAAAACAUCAAGACAUUGACCCUCAUGUUAGAUUUGCCUGCAGCACCACAUCAGUCCCAACGUCGCACUGAGGAAGCUUCUGCAGGUUUACAUCGUAUAGCCGUAGUUAAUGUGCUUGGUCAGCUCCUCGGGGCAGGGUGUCCUGCCAUAGAUGGCCUGCUCCUCAUCCAGGCUGUUCCAAGCAGACUUAUAGCCCUCUUCUUCCAGUACCCUUGGAACAGCAUGUUGCAAGCGGCCCUCUGCAAAUGUUUUCUUGUAAGUUGGUCUUUUUGUGAAAUUAAGUAUAAGUCAAAAACAUCUCUAUAGCUAUUGCUGUAAACAUUUCUACAAGUUAAAGUCAGCUUCAUGGAGUUUUUUAUUAUUUUUGUCAAGUAGCGUGUAAAGCCUCUAAGUCUUACGAAAUAUAGCAGUUUUGAAAAUCUUUUAUUUUUUCAUGUUCAGGUCGCACGUUAUUUAGUACGUAGCUUUUUACUUUUACUUUUGGGGGUGGUUAAUAAUUAGGCAUCUUUUUGCAAAGUAGAGUGGGUAAUUUCAUGAGUAGAUAAUUUCAUUAGGUACUGAAAUUCAAGUUGAACUUGACGCACUUUGACUACUCAAUUUACCUUGAUGUGUAGUUCUGAGCAAACUCUAGUGACGUGCAUGAAAUUGAAUUGCUGCGACUUAUUUCAUCCCUCUCAUUGUCCUCGAUUCAGGCAGUUUUAGAUCGACCUGGAACGCUUGUAUGCUCAGCUAUUCUUGCGGGAGGAACUGGACUUCCCACUCUCUGUGCCAAAGUUGGUAGUGAAUGUGCUACUUUAGUUAUGAGCAAUAGACCCGGGUGAGUUACUCCUAAUACAUGACUUCUGAUUAUUGUAAUUUUUUGGUUUUGCUCUGAAUCUUGAAUGUAUAGUCACACUAUUUGGUGCCCAGGCUCGCUGUAGUACCGUCAGACUUUUCUACUUCUAGAUUUUAGUUUUUUCUAAAUACAGUUCAGUUAUAGGCUUCUUAAUUUGAUUUAAGCUUGCUCGGAUUACGACAUGGAAUUUUUUUCCUGUAAGCAAACUGUUACAAUUUAUUAACACUUAACAAUGUUUCAUUAUGUGGAUGGUUAUCUUAGGUAUGCUGGUUACAUUGUGAAGCUAUCUAAAACUCUGCAGGUGCUGGGGGAGAAGGAUGCAUCUGUUAAUGUAAUUUUCGUAACCACUGUGUUCCUUGUCCGUUGAUAUUUAGUGAGAUAUUUAAUACCAUGAGAUGAGAUCUGCCACAAAUUGGAUGGAAAGUGCUGCAUUGGUAUUUUCUAUUUUAAAAUCAAAGUUGCUUCCCACAGAUAUUUCAGAAAGUUUAGCGUAAUCUCCUGAUUUAGCUCAACUAAACCGUUUUUGUGGGGCUCAUGCGAUCAGGAGUUACUGCAGCAAAGUGACCAAUGGGUUAUCUUCGCUGGCGUAGAUGGUUUGUUGAGCAAACUAGUGACCGAGCAAACAGGCCAUUUAGGAGGACCAAAGCCUGUUCUAGCACGCUCCAUGGCACCAUUUUUUCAAAACAACCCAGGCAGGUCCUCUGCAGCUUUUGAACAGUUUCGAGGCCUUGUUCUCACGUGAACUGUAUGCACCCUACCACAUUUCAGUAUGUAGAUGUCUCUGCAGCUUUGUUGACCAGAUAUAUUUGAAGAACAUUUUUUAGCUCAGGACUCGUCACAUUGUGCUAAGUCUUGUCAAGCCUGGGAUGUUCGUGUACACUGCACCCAGCGCCCUGGACAAUUUAGCUAUCAGAAAGUGUACGAUGCCAAGGUAGCUAGUUCCUUUUGAACCUUUCGUGCGGUGCAUAAUCUUCAGCAAUUCUUAUAUGUAAUCUUUUUUUCCCUUUAUUGCUGAUUUAUAAGGCUUUCAUUUGGUUUAUUGCAGGUUCGUGUAGGACAGAUGACCCCUUUCUGUUCAAAUCAAAUGACGCUUUUAAUAGUUAAAGAGUCACCCUAGCAGCCAAACGUUCGGACUGAUUUAGGUGCAAUUCGAGUUGCUCCUUAUGUGCUAGUCUCUAUGAUUUGUGAUUAGUUUUGGCCUUUUUGGAGACGCUGAGUCUUUUUGUUGUUCCAAAAUUAGAAAUUUCACCAAUUUUUUGAGCAAAGUAUUAAGAGUUUAAUUAGAACGCAUGAGCAUAAGCUGAGAACAUAAACACGUAGGAUGAAUAUUGGCAAUACUUUGUAUCACAUAAUACUGCUUGCUCAUGAGAUGAGCUGCCCUUGACCUGAGUUGUCAACAAUUUGACCGUCACCGUUUUUACUCCUGUAUAUGUAUUCUGCUGUCCUUUGGAACUGCAUUAAGCCUGGUAUGAAAAGAUUAUUAUCAGCAAUCUGAUCUGUCAAAAAUGAUUCUGGUUUAAGUGAUUCGCAUCAAUCUAUAACAUACAAGAAAUUAUCGAACUGAGUUAAAUACGGAUACAAACAUGUGGUAAACUUAGAUUGGUUUACAGGAUUCAGGUUCAAAUUAGAAUUAUUCAAUUUGAUGAACAUGGUAUUGGUUACUACGUAAAAAUUUAUAAAUUUACAAAUAAGAUUAGCCUAUUUAAGAUGCUUUUCUGGAUAUUUUAUAUUUAAGAUUGGUUUCUUUUCAAAAUUGUAUACUUGAAGGGCUAUCUACUUAAACUUGGUUGCAAUAUGGAAUGACACAUAGAGGCAACUAGAAUAGCAUUACUUUCAAAAAAGUUAAAGUUACAUUAAACAAAAAUGUAUAAACUUUGUUAAUUAUGUAAAGAGUAAAAUUAUCUAAUUAUGUUAAAACUUAGAUCCAACGCUGAAUUUUUUAUUGAAAAUAUUUGUUCUUUAUAUGAAUUCAAUAAAGAAAAAACUUAGAUUGUAUUCCUGUCAUAUUUGAUGUAAAAGUGAAUCAUAUUAUAAAACUUCAAUAUGCCUUUAUGUUUUUAUAACAUAUUUGUUUUAGCAAAAAAUUAUGAAAAAUAAUUUUACUAGAGAAUUUUUAAAAAUUGUUAAAAAUAAUUUUACUAGAGAAUAUAAUAAAGACUUCUCCUAAUUUAAAAUAAGUCUUAUUGAUGUAAAAUUAAGUACAACUAGACAUUAACCUCCAACCUUUUAGUUAUCCUACCAAAACAUCUUAAGUUAUGUUGUUAGGAUUUUAUUUAAAGAGUAAUUUUUUAUUAGUAUUUGUGGUUUUUAGGAUAACAAUAUCCUUUAUUGAAAAACUUUUACACAUUCCUAGGGCAAUUUCAAUCUAUAUGUUUGAUUUUUGAGUUUUAGUUUAAACAAUAUAUAUGUAUAUAUAUAUAUAUAUAUAUAUAUAUGCUGGUUAGACACCCUUCUUUUAUUGUUCAGACACCUCCCUUAUUACACACCCUUGCAUUGAGUAAUAUCAAUGUCACAUCAUUAUUUUAUACUCUACAGUCUUGAUCUCAAACAAUUAUAUCACAUACCUAUCAACGUGUUGAUCUUUUGAUAAAUUUUAAUAUUGAAUAUUAUAAUUGGACUGUACUUAAAAUCAUAAUCAUGAAAUAAAUAAGGGAAUCACUAAUAAUAAUAGACAGCAACAAAAAUUAUUAAGAGACAAAAAUUUGGGUAAAAAUGUAAUAUGAUCAUUAGGGGAGGGGACAGGAGAGCAAGGUCGUGAAAUAUAAAAUAAUAAUAAUAAAACAAUGAUAUUACUCUGCUUAUGUGAAGGUGCAUGGCAGCAAGAGGAGGGGAUCUAUGUAGUAAAAGAGAGAUGUCCAUCUAGGAGUUCUUUUAAAAAAUCAUACAAUGGUUCUUCUAUGCUUGUAAACGUCUAUGACAAAUACCAAUCAAACAUAGGAGAUACAUAAAUUGAUGUUAUAUAAUUUAAAUUUUUCACAUCAGAAGAAAAAUAAUCUAAUGUCAAUAAUAUUAAGUUAGUAGUUAGUUUGUGAAGGACAAAAUUGUAUUGUCUAGCAUUAGCCAAAAAGAGAGACAAAAAUACAAAACAACCAAUGUAAUUCUGAUACAAGUUCAUAUAGUUACACUAAUAAUUGUUUAGGUAGAUUGUUAUAUAACAUCUUCUUGUGAAAGUAUUAUAUGAACUUUUAAAGUCUUUGCUUAUUUUGUAAUAUAAGUUUUUUAGGAUCUACAACCUUAUGUUGUCUAAGCCUACUUCAGUAGAUUUUGGUGUUUAUGCUUUUUUUUUUGAUAAAAAUAUUAUAAAAUAUUGGUAUUAAAAAAUUUAAAAUUAUACAUGUGGAAUAUAUAUUUAUAAAAGUCUACUAUUAUUUAAUGUUAUAAAGUCUUCAAUAAAUCCUAUCAUUUUGGAUUUAUUUUGGUUUAAAAACUAUAAUCCUUAAAUAGGUGGAAUAUAUUAUAUUCUUAGAUUUUAUCUUUGAAAAAAUAUUUAUAAAAUUUGUUUUAUGCCUAUUAAAGUUUUUCAUCAAUUUUUUGGAAUAAAGAAAUUUAUAUAAGCAAUAUAUAUUUAUAUAUAUAUAUAUAUAUAUAUAUAUAAUGCUUGUUAAUUUUUGCAACUCUUAGUUUUUAUCUAAGUAGGAAUUAUAAUAAUAUCUUAGAAUAAUAUAAAGAAUUUUAAGAUGUAAUUAAAAAUAAAAUAUCAAUAUUUUUUCUACAUUUUAUCUAUUUAAUAAAAUAUUGGAUCUUAAAAAGAAAUCCAACUACCAUUUGGAUUAACUACUUAUUUAUAUUAAAAAAUAUAUUGACAAAAAGCUUAUAAAGAAUUAUAAUUAAGCUUUAAGAUCUUUUAGAAUUAUAAUAAUUUCUUUGGAAAAAAAAAUAGAGAUCCUUAUGCAUAUAUGCAUACUAUUCUGGACUUAAUAAAUCAACUUCUAAAAGUUAUUAGAUUUUUUUUAGUAUGAGAAUUUCCUCACCAACAAAGCAAGGCUAAGAUUUAUACUAGAUUUAAUCUUUAGAGAGAUUAAUAUCUAAUAUAUAUUAAAAAAUAUACAUAAAUAUACAUAUACAUAUAUUUUUUUUUUACAUAUCAUUCUAAAAUAAUUUAUAUUUUUUAGAAUGUUUGUUCUAAAAAAUCCUAUCUUGCAUAACAGAAAGGUUUUUUUAUAUAAUCAAUAGUAUAUUAUCUUUUUGAAAGUAAAGAAAUUUCAUAUUUAAUAUAUAAACUCAAGAAUCUAAUUUUUAUUUAAUUAUUUUUACGAAUUUUGUUUAACCAUGUUAGCAAACUAAUAUUUUUUAAUAAAUAAAUAGCUUAUGAGGUGAUUUAAAUAAAAAUUAUUAAAAAAGACCACCUUUUUCAUCAUAAAAGAUUUUUUUAUAUAUUAUAGAAGUUAAAGAAAAUAUGUCUUUUUAAUAAUAUGAUAUUUUUUAUAAAAAAAUACAUAUAAAAUUUAUUUCAAAAAUACUUUGAUGGCUUCAAACUUCAAUAUUCAUUAAAGAUUAUUAAAGGUUGAUAUUAAAUUAUUUUUACCUAUUUCUUCAUAUGUCAUAAAUAAAAAAAAUUAUAUAAAUCAAAUAUUAGAUUUUAUUUUUAAUAUACCAUCAAAUAUAUUUAAGAAAUUGAAUAAUAUUUUAAAUGCUAGAACGUUUUUUAAUAAUAAUAACAUAAACAUUUUUAUGCAAAAAAUAUUAAUUUUUCUAAAUUUUAAGUAUUAUCUAUUAUUUGAUAUUUUUUACUUAAAAAAUUCAACUAAUAGAGUAUUCUUAAAAAAAAAAUAUUAAAACUUUACAAGGUAUUAAAAUAACAACUAUAAGAAAUUAAAAGAACAAAUUAAAACCAAAAAAAAUAAUUAAAAUAAAUUAUGUUUUAUCAAAAAUAAAACUUCUUAUCAAUGUGUCAAGAUACAUAAUUUCUUUGACAUAAUAUCAAUACGAAUUAAUCUUAUGAUAAAUUAGAUUAUUAAUAACUAAAACCAUUUAUUACUUAAAAGAAUCAAUUUGGUUACAUAUUAAUUGUAACUACCAUAGUUAACAAUGACUAUGUUCCAUUAAGUUUUACUCAAUUAAAUAAUUUGAUGGACAUAUUGAAAAUGAAGAAAUUAUCAACACCUCUUUUUGAAAUCAAUAAAAUUAAAAUUUUAAAGUAGAUUUUUUUUUAAUUCAAAAUAAUAUUAAAAUUACUUAGAAUAUCUUAUAAAUUGAUGGAAAUAUAAUAUUAGUGAACAGACUUGAAAGUUAUACAAGGAUCUUAAAAAUAAGCUGGAAUUGGUUUUUUAAAAUUUAUUAAAUAAUACCAAUCCAAAUCAAAGACUACAACAUAUGCAUAUAUUAGUUAAAUAAUUAGAAGUGGGUAGAAAUAGGUAGAAGUAUAUUUGUUUGAUAUUAUCUCGUUAAGUUGUAUUAUAGAUUCUUCUUAUAUGCAAUUUGAAUCUAUAAGCACCAUAAGAUGUUGUACAUAAUUGACACAUGACUUGGUGAGUUGGCCACAUGUUACAUAUGUUAGCUACUUGUCUCACCUACCACAUAAUCUUUAGAAAGACUACACAUAACUUCCUUAGUAGCUAACAUGUAUGGAGAUAACAAUGAGGCCAUCUUAAUUAUUGUCAUUUUUAUUUAUUUAUUUAUUUAUUUUUCCCUCUAUUCUUCAAUGAUACAUGAAUAUAUUGUCUUUUGAGUUUUGUCUAGAUUUAUAUCUUUGACAAAGACCAACUAUUGAUACUGACAUGGUAUAAAAAAUUUAAAACUUUAAAAAAUUUAUAAAAUUAUGAAAUAAAUAAAUAACAUGUAUACAUUUUUGGAUUUAUUAAGAUGUAAAAUUAAAAUUCAACAUAUUUAAUUUAAAAAAUAUCAUUUAUAAAAUUACCAAAUAAACUAUUUAGAUUGUCUUAACUAUCAAAAUGUCAGAUUUAAAUUGCAAAUAUUUUAAAAAGGCAUAUUAUUUUAUAAAUACAUAGCCAAAUACAUAUGUAUAAUGCCAUAACCGUCAAAGGGAGUCUUAAUACUUGGUGAUACUACCAGAAAUGGAUAUAAUUUCUUAUGAUAUUCUUAACAUGUUAUUAAAGAUAAUUAUAAAAUCCUAAAUUGUGAUAAAAUAAUUUAGUAGUCUUCUUAUUUGGAUAUAAAAUAUUAUGAAUUGUUCAAAAGACAUAUUAAUUACUUUUGUGCAAAGCAUAAAUCAAGGUUUGUAGCAAAUAUUAUUUGAUAAAUUUUAGACUUUACCAACUUGUAAACUAACUUGAUUAUUUUUAGUAUAAUUCAUCUUUAAAAUAUAUAUAUAUAUAUAUAUAUAUAUAUAUAUACAUAUAUUGUAGAUGCAUAUAUUAUUUUAGUAAAUAAAAGUAGUAUAAAUAGAUAAACAUAUGAUAAUUAGAUUUUAUUUUAGAAUUUUUUUAAAAUAUUAAUAGAUAUAAAUUACAUAUUUAGAUUUAAUUAUAUAAACCACAUGCCUAUGGAGACUUCUACUAUAAUUUGUUUAUCUUUAAAAUUAUUAUAGAUGCAAUCUACAAUAUAGAUGCUUAGGCCCUAAGCCAUGUGUUUUUUAAGAAGCUUCCACAUAGCCUUUUUAGUUGAUAGGACUAAUAAAGGUAGGACUAACAACAUUCUUAAUUUAAUCAAGGUCUUCUUUUUGUUUUCCAGUCUUGAUUGAAAAUUCUCCAAUUUCUUUGUAUAAUUUUAAAAUCAUUCUAAGUUAUUUUUAUCUUCUAUUUUAGUUCUUUUUUUCUUACAUUCUUUUUUUGAAAGUUACAUAUGAGCAUAUUUUCUUUUCAAAAAUUUAUUUAGAUUCAUAGCUUUGAUAAAAGAGGUCUUAAGAUAAAUUAUUGAAAUUUUUUUAAAGAUAUUUUAUAAAAAAAAUUAUAAAAAAAUAUAUUUUCUUUCUUUCUUUUCUAAUUGUAUAUUAACAAACACCUUAGAAUUACUCAUAAAACAUUUUUACAUCAUUGAGUAUUAAAUAUUUGCUUCAAAGAAUUUAUUUAAAAACAUCAUUGUUACAUUGUUGAAAUAAAGAUAAAAUAAUGUUGUUAACAAUUGCAUCUCAUAACAAUAACAUUUUUGUAAAACUAUAGAUAAAUUUUCUUUUGUAGCUAUGAAAUAAUUAUUUUAAAUUGUAAAUUAUAAACACGUAUUUUUUAAAGAAAAACAGGAUGCUAAUUGAUUUGUAGGUGAUAGAAGGCUAAUAGAUUAUAUAUAUAUAUACACACAUACACAACUUAGUUAAAUUUAAAGUUUUAAAAAUAUAUUACAGAUGUAAAUCAUUUAAGAUAACUAGCAAGAUUCUUUGUUGCAAGUGUUGCAUCUCAAAAGUCAUAAUAUCUAUUACACUAAUAUCCACAAAAUAAAUAUUAAUCAAAAAAUUAUUUGGGAGGUUUUUUCAAGUCCUUUGCAAUCAGAUGUAACCAUCCACCAAACACAAACUAUACACAUAAAAAACAAAAAAUAUACAUGUCUUUGUAUAUUUAUUUUUCAUACAUACAUUCAUAUGUUUUGCAACAGAGUAUAUAUAUUUUAGAUGUUUUUUUUCGGGCCAAACGUUACGUGGAAACGAAAUGGAUAAGGCUGGUCCGAGCGUAGGAGCGUCGGGUCGCGUCGCGUCGGGUGGCGUCGCGAGGACAGCGUCCGAGACGGAAAGACGCGGUAGCAUCAUUAUCGUCGACCGAGGAGGGAGCAAUCGAGAUGAGAGAGAACGAGAGAAUGAGAAUGAGAGAUGAUGAGAGCUUCCUGAAUCCAACUUCACCGAAUUCGCGUCGCUCAGGGAAUUGAGGAUGUGGUGAUCCCCUUUCUCUCACGUCGUCCACACGAGCAAUCUCGCCUGCCUGAAAUCCCCACCCAGCGUUGCAGGGAGUCUCCAUGGCGAUGGCGUCCCCGGCGUUGGUCACCUCCACCACUACCACCACCCACGCUGCCCCCGCUCAGGCCUUCGCGCCAGCCUCCUCCCCCGCCAGCUCCACCCAGAGAUGCCUGCACCCAUUUGCGCUUGUGGGUCGCAGGUCAAGCUCCAGCUGUAAACGUGCCCAGGUGCGGUUUAAUCUCACGUUGCGACCAGUUUGAGGUAUUGCUGUUGAAUUCGAAGGUGGGGUAGUGUUCGCUUCAUGAAUGAAGGUUGACAGGAGUGUUAUUUAGUGUCGUCGAGCUUGCGCGCGUUUUCUUUUCAUUACCCCAGGUUGGGAGUACCCGAAGUUUUGAUGCGCCUGAUUGGUUUCAUUGGCUCGGGAGCUGGCACAUUGGAGUGUGAGCUAGCCAAUGGUAGGGUUGAAGGAAUCGAGCUCGUUACAGCAAUUGAUCAGUCGAACUCAACGGAGUGAUCUGAAAGUCAGAGGGGAUAGUACGCGUGAGAAAAUUUGAGUCUCCUCACGUGGGUUCUUGUUGGAAAGAGCCUGACAUUUUUUGUAAUGUGCAUUGAGAAUAUUAGUUAGCUCCCGACUGCACCGAGAAUUCAAGGGUUUAUAACUACGGGCCAAAUCUCUGAUUUUCCACCAGGUCUUUAAUCACAGUCUGAGAUAUCUCAGACGGCAGUUGUGGAACUGUGCACUGGCGAGAAAUUAACUGUUGUUGAUUUGUGGCUCGUGUUGGUGGAAUCGGUUUCACAUUAAAUAUAUUCAUAGUCGGAAAUUUCCUUUUGGCUGUAGAGACGAGUCUUCCGUGUGUCAGCUGCUGCAGCUGAGUCCGGGUCAGUACCACCUUCAAUCCCGAAAGCAGACAUUGCACCAGCAAAAGAAGCUCCCCCGAAGCCAACCUGUACGAUCAUCAUCUUUCUCGGGGAAUGCCUAAUCAAUUUUUGUUAUAACCUUUCGUAUAUAUUUAAUUAUGUCGUUUGCAAUUCGAGUCUGUUUGCCUCUUCGAAAUCUGAUCAAUUUGUCUCGUCGUGGCAGUGAAGAAAGGACAGAUUGUGAGAGUUGACAAGGAAAAAUAUCUGAACAGUGUAGAGGUAAUUUCCGUUUCUUCACAAACUUAAGCUUGGGUGACAUGCAUACCGAUCUUUUAUAUGACAAGAAGCCAUUGUAUGUUGCCUUGAAUUCCGCUCCAAAGACAUAGUUAUCUAGUCAUUUGCAGAGAUGUGCUUCUUUCUGCAAGCUUAGACACACAGAUGUUCUGAAUGAGGAAAUCGCGAUGCAGUAUCUAUCAGUUGGGCAUCCCCCUUACUUCACUGGCCUAGAUUACAUUUAUGAAGACCGUGGCGAGGUAAAGAGCGUGCCCAUUUUCCUGUUCGUGUGAUUUUUUUUUUUUCUUUUUAUUUUUUUUCUUUUAAUGUACACACUGCCGUGAUUUUAUUCUCCCACAAUUGAUUGAUGACUGCACUUUCCUCCCUGUGAAUCAAUUAGUAUACCUACUUUCUAAGACUCAUGAGGUAAUUGUGUGAGCAGAUUUUGAACACCAGAUUCUUUGAUCAUGGCGAGUAUGCACUGGUAUGUUCUCUCCUGUAUUCCUAAUUUCACAAUUUUUAUUCGUGACCCAGAACCUUGAAUAUCUGAGGCUUACCCUGUGAACCUACUUGCAGAUUUCAUGGGCAGGAAUACCAACGAAUCCAGCUUGGCUUCCUACGUACAUGCUUAUCCCGGUAAAUCAACACACUGUAGCUUGUAACCGUCUUGUGCACAAACAUAACUCUGCCGCCUGAGGUCUUUGCAUUAGGAUGUGUUUGUAAUGCUGUCGUUUGGCAUUAUAAAAAUUUAAUUCUAACAAUGGGGUUAAGGACAGUGUUGAUAGUAUUGUAUGUCUUCGGAUGUCUUUGAGAUAUGUUCUAAUGCCCCGUCCUAAAAUGCAGGCGGAUAGGCUCUCAUACAAGAGACAGUAAUCGUCAGCUCCAACAUUGAUUCAGCUGAGACCAUCACUUUCUGUAACGUUCAACUGGGAUACUUCUCUCCUGUAAUUCUUUCUCCUCCUCAAGUAUUGAUUAGCAAAAUGUGAAGACCCUCCAUCUGGGAAAUAGUGAAGCUCAUACUUCUAUGUGGUCUGAACAGUUCUAAUGAUGUAAUGUAGUGUUUUAUUCGACGAAAAUCCUCAGGAUGUACUCUUUGGACAAGACUUAAGUCUUGAAUGUAGCAUUUUUUCCUAAUAGUUGGUUAUUUGACGUAAGCUAUAUAGGUCUGCUGGUGAUGGAAUGUUCUUUGCAACCCACUGAUACUGGACUCUCGUUGACAGUGAAGAAACCUCUUCUUACAUCAAAUCCGCAAUGAUCUAUGGAGAGGCAGCAACUUGUUAGGCCUGCCUAACUUAUUUUCAAACUAAGAUAGUCUAAAAUAAAUCAAUUAAGAUAAACUAAAUCAAGAUCAAUUUUUUUGAAACAAUUCAGAUUUUUAUAAAAAUCUAUUAAUGUGAUUCGAAAAUUUGAGUUCAAUCCCACAUGUAUACGUAAAUUAUUGGUGGCAUUUUUUAGAUAAUAUAAUGUGUUAAAUCUAAUCAAUAUUCUUAGAAUAAGUAUCAAAUCACGUGGAAUAAGGAUAUAACGAAAAAUGCUACAAAUAUUGGAACCAAAUUCUUAUUGAAGUGAUAACUUUCUUACAACUAUUUUUUUUAAUAAUAAAAUCUUCACGAUUGAUUUUCAGAAAAAUAAUAAUAAAUAAAUGUAUUUUUGGAGUAUCCCAGAAACGUCAUUGCUUUGAAAUACCACCUGAAUAACAUGAUUGGAAACAGAUAUGUUAUAAAUUUUCUUAACAAUUAAAAAAUUAGUAAAAUACUUCAAAUAUAUGAUUAGAUGGGUAAUUUAAUCAAAGACUGGGCAUCAUCUGAUACUUUAUUAACUUUGAAUAUUCUUUUGCUACUGCCAGUAAAGAUUUAAUCUAAUCAAAAGCACGUCAAAUAAAUUGUUAUUGCCGUUACAAAAGUAAAAAAUUUAAAAUAAAAUCCGAUGAAAUAAAUAAAUUGCAUAAAAAUAUAUUUUUUACUUUUAAGACAAAAAAAUUCGUAAAAUUAUAUAUUAUUUAAUAAAUAAAUUCUAUUCUAAUUAUAAAGCUAUAAAUCACUUCAAAUUUAUAUCAAAUUAUAUUCUAAUUGAAAACAUAUAUAUCUAAAAAAGAUAAUAAAAUUAAAAAUCUAAUAAGAUUAUAUUGAUCAUUUAUAAAAUAUAAAUUAUAAAAAUUAAAAAAAUAUGAAUAUAUGUUUUUUACUUAUAUCAAUAAUAAAUAGAUUUUGGGAAUAAUUAAUUUUGGGAAUAGUGCCUCAAAGGAUGGAAAAUGUUAUUUGGUGGAAAUCUAAUAAAUAUAAUCUCUCCUUGAUCAUGUAUGUGUACCAACUAAAAAAUGAAGGAAAUAGCAAGCCUCUAAGAAACAAGAAGAUGAUGUCAAAGAUGACAACAAUUUUUACUUCUAACUUAUAUGACCCUAAGAAGAGGUAUACAUUUAGCAGAAAGUCUUAAAAAUGAAGAAUCUCACCUCUAUUAAAACCAUAAGCCUUAAUUUAAUCAAAGAAAUGAACAUUGUCAUAUUACGUGCAAUCUUGCUUGAGAAUGCACUGUAUAUUUGGCUAUAGAAGGUAAAUUGAGAAUUGCAAUAAGAAGAUUCUAGUAAUUUUAAUAGAAUUCUAAAUAAAUCCCAAUUAAAAUUUAGCAAAUAUUAUCAAACCUUAUUCAAAUCUAAAAAAAGUCUUCAAGAAAUCAUAAAAGAAACAUAAAAAAAAUCUAUAAAAAUUAUAAAGAAUUUUACAAAAAUCUUAAAAGAAACAUCAAAAAUAAAAAUCUUAAUUAAAUCCCAAGUACAUUCUAAUCAAAUUUUAAUAAAAUCCUAAAUAAAUUUUGAUCAAAUUCUAACCAAAUCUUAAUGAUAUUCUAAUAAAAUUCUAAAUAAAUUCUAAACAAAGUCUAAUAAAAUCCUAAAAAAAAUCUAAUGUAUUUCUAAUCAAAUUUUAAUCAAAUUAUACUUUAAUUAAAUUCUAAUCAAUUUCUAAUGAAAUCCUAAAUUUUAAAUCAAAUCUUAAUAAAAUCCUAAUUAAAUUUUAAAUCCUAGAUAAAUACUUAGUCAAUCUUAUAAUAGAUUGAAACCUAAAUAACUAAUAAAUUAAUCAUAGAUUUUAACUCAAAAUUUUUAUAUCUCUCAAUUGCUAAAUUAAAAAUAAGCAUUAAAAAUUUUAAAAAGAUUGAACUAACUAAAUAGAAGAUAAAUUCUAUAAUAUACUUAAGUAUUAGGAGGCGUCCUUCUACAAUCUUAACAUUGAACUUCUAGUGCUAAUAUCACUUGCAAUCACCAUCCAAUGGUUUUCAAACUUUUCACACUUAUUUAAAAUUGAGUCUUCUACUAAUAUGUAUAUUUAUUAUUAUUAUCAUUUAAAUCCACAAAAUGCUACAAAUCUUAGUAAUACUCACUAUUCUUAUAAACUAUAAUUUUUUAGACUCUAAUACUUUAAAAUUCAAUAUUCUUCAAUUAAAUAAUUUGAUUACGUUAAAACUUACAACAUAUAUUUAAUAUAAUAAUAGUCACGUGAUUGUAAUAUUUUAUUUAUAGAUUAUCUACCAAUCUCACACAAUUCUCCAAAGUAUAAACUCUUUAUAUCUUCUCAAAAAUCCAAAGUCAUUCCAAAUCAAUCCUAACUUUGUAAAGUCUUUAUAAAGUCAUUACAAAUUCAAAUCACUCAAAAUCAAUGCCUACAAAAUUUUUCACUAGUUUUCUUUUAAAUCCACCCUCCAAUCAUUCAUAAAAUCCUAGAAUUGUUGUAGAUGCAUGGUUUUGUAUCUCAAAUCUAAUUUCAACCCUCAUUCACAACUAGUUCUCUAUGGGUAAAAAUUUUUAAUUUUUUUAAUUAAUUUUUAUUGAAAAUUACUCUCAUUUCUUUUCUUAAGUUGCUUAUGUUAAUUAUUUUUCUUAUCUACUUUGUUUUUCCUCAUUUAUAGCCAUACAAACUAAGUAGAAGUUUAUUUUGCAAAGAGGCAACAUAAACACUUAUUAGUUUUACUACUUUCUUAACUAUUAUCUAAACUUCUAUAGUAAUUUGCUAAAUUUUUUUUCAUUAAGUUUUUUUGAAAUAUAAUAUUUUAUUUCUUUUUUAUCUAAUAUUUGUAUUACAAUAAAAUAUUGCAACAACCCCAAAUUAGAUGAUUGUCAAAACAAAACAUAUCACAAGGUAAAGAAUCUCUAAAAGUAGUAAAGAAGUGACUCUAAGUUAAGAAUGUCAAAAGGAUCCUAUAUCAAACAAAAAAGGAUGGAAAAAUCACAAGAAAAUAUAUCAUUGCAACUAGAAUGAUAAAUAACACAAUUAUCAAAAUAAUAUGAUAAAGUUAUCAUUUUGGAGAUUGCCAAUAAUAACCUUAAAUAAUAAAAAUAAGAUUAUUUAAGUUAAAUUAAAGAGAAACAUAGUCUAAAAUAGGUUUAAUAUAAAUAAUGGAAUUAGAAAUUCUAAUGCAAUGGUUAUUUUAGAUAUAGUAGGUAUUUAAAGGAUAUAUAAAUAAAUACUUUAGAAAUACCAAAUAAUAUAUAUCUUUUUUUUAAUCAAUAAAAUUCAUACUUUUCUUUAGACUUGAUAGAAUUUGAAUUAAUAUGUAUCUUUAAGAAGUAAGAGAAGUAAUCUAUAACCACUCCAUUGAAAAAGAGAUGUGAUAGCAUCAGAUCAAAAUACAUACCAAAUUGGAAGAUAUAGGCAUACUAGUAGUUGAGUUGCAAUGAAAAGAAGAUUCUUGCAUUUGUUGCUAAUACAUUUGGUGGUGACUUAUGAUAUUUGAAGGAAGUCAAAUUUGUAAGAGAGAGAAAGGAUGCCUUUUGUUUUGGUUGAAAUCAUUGAAAGUGUUGAUAGAAAUCAAUGUAAUUUGCAACCAAGUAGUAUGAAAGAUCAAUAGAGCUACACCACCUUACUUUAGUAUGCUUCCAAAAAAAUUCAAUAUAAAGAAUAUAAAAAAUAAAAAGUCUCAAUGAAGAUUGAAGCAUUAUUAAAAUGAAACUUGAUGUAGCAUUAAUAUUAUAAAAAUUAAUGAUUAGAGGGCAUUUAUAUAUGAGAUAGGAUUACAACUUUAUUUUCAAAUAAUAUUGAAAUAAUUGAUAUAGGAGGUAUGAAGUCUUGAUGAAAUAAGAAGUAAAGUUGUUUAAGCUUUUGAUGGUUAUACUAGGCAUGGGGGUUUUAGAGUGCUCUUCACAAAUGCUAAAAUGAGAGAUAUGAGAGAUGUAAACUUUUAAUAAAGUAAAAAAUAGAGUUAAUGAAAUAUUUUUAGUUAAUCAAAAUACUAAUAACAUUCCAAAGAGCUACUAAUAUUAUAACAAAGCCCUCAACUUAAUGCUCUAAAUUGAUUCUAAUUGUCACCUUAAAGUUAAAAUCUAGAGUAAAAUUAUUAUGAUAGUAUUAAAGUUGAAUUUACGUACCUUGUGUAAUUUAAUCGAAAGCAAAGUAGUACACUUUUAUGUCCUUUGGGAUUGUAAAGACAUACUUGCAUCCAUCUAAUUUUACUCAAAAAAUAAAAAAAAAAAAGAUUUUAGGAAAGUAAAAAAACAAGUUAGAUGAAAAUAGUAGAAGAUAGAAAUUAAAAAGUAAUCUACUCGCUACUAGAACCUAAUACCUAAAUAAAGUAGAUUGAAGAUAUUUAAAGCUUGUCCCUUUAAAUGAAAUAAAGAUAAAUCAAAUGCAUUGCUUUAAGACAACCAAUAAAGAAAGUCUCAAAUAUUAGAAUCUUGAAUUGCAAAGUAUAGUUAGAUAAAGUAGUAAUUCAAAAUAUAGUUCUUUGACUUGGAAUAUGUAUGUUUGAAUGUUAUAAGCUAUUAAAAUUAAAAGAAAGUAGAAGUUAGAAAAAGAAGUAAGUUCUAACAUACAAAGAAAUUGUUUAAGUUGGCCAAAAUAACAAACAAUGAUUUAGUACAAUUAAUCAUCAUAAAAAAAAAUACAUGUUAUUUUCAAAUAUAUUGGCUAUAUUGUGACAAUAUUUAAGAAGUUCUUGCAUUUUCUUACAAUAGCAAUUAUGUUCAUUUUGGAUUUUAUAUAUAUAUAUUUUAAAUUUUGAUAUAUAUAUAUAUAUAUAUAAUAAAAUAAUUACACAUUCGUAAUAAUUUUUUUAGGAUUUAAAUUUUAUAUAUAUCUAUAUAUAUAUAUAUAUAUAUAUAUAUAUAUAUAUAUAUAUAUAUAUAUAUAUAAUAAAACAGAAUAAAUUGUAAUAAUAACAUGUAAAAGUAAUCUUUGAUUUUGAUUAAAACAUGCUAAUUCUUGUACAGACUUACUUCUUAUAAAUAUGUAUAUAUAUAUAACAUCAAAAUAAAGACUAAAUUUCUAUCACCUAAAAGAGUUAUAAUUUUGAAGAAAAUUUUGGAAUUAAAAUUUUAUUAGUAUUUUAAACUUUAAUUUUUAAAAUAAAUAUAAUCAAUUUAUAAAUAGUCUGUCAAAAAUAAUAAAAAAUAAAUUUAUACAAAAACUUGUAGCUAACAACAUUAAAUAUUUAAAUAAAUUAUAAUUUUAUUAUAAUUAUUUUAGGAGAGAAAAUAGAUUUAAUAUAAAAUAUCAUUAGUAAAAAUAUUCAAAUAUAUAAUUAUUACAAUAUGGUCCAAGUAUUUUAAGUAGAAAUUAUAGUUGUAAAAAAUUGAUCAUAAAUAGAAAGUUAUAUAUAAGAUCUCAUCCUACCAAUAUUAUUUUAAUAUAUUAAUUUCUAUGAAUAUUUUUUUAAAUAUAUAUAUUUAUAUAUAUUCUCAAGUAUUUGAAUUUAUUUGAAUUUAAAAAUAUUAUUUAUAUAAGAUUAAAUUAAAAUAUAGAGAUGCCUUAUAUUUUUAGUAUAAAUUCUAAAAAUUCUAAAAAUAAUAAUCUAUAGAUUAAUAAAAAUAGAUCAAGUAUUUAUAUAGAUCUAUUUUUUUCUAUUAUUUUUAUGUUUAACGUUAUUCUUAUUAAUAUAAUAAAAACCAAAAUAUUUACAAUAAGACAUCCAAUCAUGUUAAACUUAGAAACUUAUUAAGAUGCCAAACUAGAAGGAUCGAUGUUCUCAUCAAUUUUAUUUUUUAAAACUUGAAUAAUAAUUUAACAUCUUUAAUAUUCAUAUUAAUUAAAUAUUAUAAGAAAGCCUUACUAUUUUUUUUAUAAGAGCUUUAAAUAAAGAAAUUAUUAGAUUUUGUAAGUCCUACUUGAUAUUAUUUUUUAAAAUUUCGGUAAUUAGUAUUUGAUAAUUUAAAAAAUAAUAAGUAUAUUAUAAAUAUAAUUAUUUUUUAUUUUAGAUUAUUUACUAUAUUUUUCUAUAAAACAAUUAUAUGGAUGAAAGUAUUGGACAUAAGUAGGAAUCAACUUUAUUUUUAUUUAAGUAUAUUUUUAAUUUUUAUUGAUUUUUUAAAUCAAUAUUUAAUAUAUAAUAUGUUUAAAAAUAUGAUGUACAAUGUUCUUUCAGUCAAAGGUAUUGUUGCAAAUCAUGCAUCUUUAAUUACUUAAAUUUUUAAAACAUUUUAAAUUUGGAUUUAGAUUUCAGAAUUACAAAGGUGUUAUUAGACAAAAGAAUUUAAUUCAAAAUUAUUAGUUUAAUAUUUUAGAAUCAUAUGGAUGUGCCUAAUUUUUAUACUUAUUAUUAUUAUUUUUUUAGAAAGAUUUUUUUUUUUUUUUAGAAUAUAUAAUUCUAAUAAAAUGAAUGGCAUGCUUAAUUGAUUUUAUGACUCAUAGUUUAUAUAUUUUAACUUUGCACUUAUAAAAUCAAAAUUAUAAAAUGAUGAUUUUUUGUGAGUUUUGGGAUUUUAUCUUUUGUAUUUUGGGUUUUUAAGUUGCAAUUGUAUAAUAAGAAGAAGUUAAAAUAUUUUAGAUUGAUUAAUAUUAAGGAUUUAAUCUACUUGGUUUUUGAAUUAUUAUUAUAAAUAUAUAUUAUUUUAAUUUUUAUUUAAUAUAUAUAUUUAUUUUUAGAAUAUACUAAUUUGAUAGUGGAAUUAGAAUGUUCUAUUAGUUUUUAGAUUUUCAAAUGUAGAAACUUUUAUUUUAUGGUUUUUUUGUUAAUUUUUUAAUUUAAGAAUAUUUUAUACUUAUCAAUUUUAAUAGUUUUUAUAUGUGUAAUUAUAAUGAUAUCUUCAAUAAUAUAUAGUGAAAUAUUUUAAUUUCAAAAUAAAAUUUUGAUUGUAUAAAUAACUUGCUUUAUAAGUUUUUAAUUUGCAAGAUAAGACAAUUUGAAUUUAGAUUCUAUGAUUUUGACUUUUAUUGUAAGAGGUGAUUUGAGAAUUUUAAAAACACCAUUGGAUUUAUUUAUGAGUUUUUCAUUCUAAAUACAUCAUUUUAGUUGUUCUAAAAGUGCAUAGAUUUGUAGAUAUUUAGGAUUUGAUUAUUUUUAUUUGAGCUAACUUUACAAAUAAGUAGAAUUUGGUAAGUUUUGAUUUGACAAAUGUCCAUAUUUUGGAGGGCUGUACUUUAAUGGUGAGUUUAAAAUGCUCUACAAGUUUUUUAAUUUUUAUAUAUAAGAUCCUUAAUUUCAUAAUUUUUUCAAUUUAUUUUUAUUUAUUUUGUCUUUUUGAAAUUUUGAAUUGAUUUAUUGUCUUAUUUGUGAUGCUUUUGAUUCUAAUAAUAUGUUUAAAAUCUUCAAUAAGUCCAAAGUUUAAAAAACAUGAGUUUUAAAAAUUACUAAUAAUAUUUUAUAUAAUAUAAAAUAUAUAUAUAUAUAUAUAUAUAUAUAUAUAUAUAAUAAAUUGAUAAUAAAAUGAGUUUAAGAUUUAGAAAUUAUGACUAUAUGGAUGUUUCCAAUUUUUUGACCCCUUUAAAUUUAGAUUUUAACUUGUCCUAUUCUAUCCACCUCCUAUAUUUAAUAUCUAUAAUUCUUUCAAUAUGAAUAACUUGCUCUGCAAGUUCUUAAUUUGCAAGAUAUAUCAACUUUGAUUUAGACUUUAGGAUUUUGAAUUUUAUUAUAAAAAGGUGUUUUAAGAGUUUUGAAAACACUAUUGAGUCCAUUCUUAGAUUAUCCAUUCUAUAUAUGUCAUUGAAUUGUUCUAAAAGUAUAUAGAUUUGUACAUAUUAAAUAUUUGAGCAUUUUGAGCUUUGAAUCAAUUUUAAAAAUGGGUAGAAUUUUGUGAGUUUUGAUUUGAUCUAUAUUCUUAUUUUAAAUUCUAUAAAUCUAAUGGUAUAUUUAGAAUAUUUUAUGAUAUUUUUAUUUUUAGAUAUAAGAUCUUUGACUUUGUAAUUUUUUUUUGUUGACUUUUAUUUUUCUUUAUUUUUUAAAAUUUUGAAUUGAAAUAUCCCUUAUUUGUGAUGCUUUAAUGGUAAAUUUAAAAACUUUAACAAGUCUAUAGUAUAAGAAAUAUGAGGUUUUUAAAAUUACAAUAUUAGACUUUACGUAUUAUAUGAAAUAAUAAUAAUAAAAUUUAAGAGUGAAUUCUAACAAAGCUAAUAAUAAAAAUAUUUCAAAUGCAAUCAUAUCUUCGAAGUUCUAUAAUGAUUGACUUUAUAAUAAUUACUUCAAAUUAAAUCUAGAAUUAUUAUAUAAUGAAUUUGUUGAUUCAUAAAGCACAAAGAACUACAAUAAUAUUAAAUGAGUAAUUAACUUCAUUGAUUAUCUACAACUUUUUAGCCACCAAUUGAUCAACCACAAUUUAGACAUUGAGAACUAUAUCGUAGAAAAUUUUAAAAAUUGAUAUUAAUUGCCUUGUAUCUAAAUGUGCAAAGAAGUUGCUCCAAACAACCAUUAUUGGUGAAAUAAAGGUAUAUAACAACGCCAUCAAGAAUAAUCCACUUAAUUGAAAAGUUGUCAAUAUAAUUUAGUGGAUUAGUAACCACAUAAUUGUCUAUUUAUAUUUUAGACUACAAUAAAUUAUAUUUGCAUUUCUAUUAUGUUGAUUUUCUUUUAUGUCACCAAUAGUGAUUGAAAUUUCAUAUUCUAUAGUAAUAAAAAACUUACUAUGUCAAUAUUUGAGCUAAUAUUGUUAUUUCUCUUAGUUCAAGUUUUUAAGUGUAUAUACAAUUUAAACUUCAAUGUAUACUUCUAUAACAUAUUUUAUGCAGAUUACAAUAAUAUAAUGUAAUAAAUUUAAUGAAGAUUUUGUUUAAAAUAAUAUUAUUUAGGAAUCCAAAAAAAUAUUAAUUAUUAUCAUAUUAGAAAAUAUUAUAUUUACCAUUCCAUGACAUGAAUUAUGAUAUGAAUUUGUAUCAAAAUUAUCUUUUAUAGUUCAUACAAUAAAAAAGUUUAUUUAGAUGGUUGAAUUUGAUUAUGUUUAAUUAUCUAAAUUUAAUUAUAUGCUGGCAUUACUUUUUGAAUAUAUAAAUUUAAAUAAAAUAUUAUGUUUUUUUAGUUUUUGUAAUAAAUAUAGAACUUAAAUUUUAUAAUUGGAUCAUAUUAUUUUUAUCACAUUCAAAUAUGCAUACACAAAUCUGAUUACAUUUUAAGACAACAUAGUUAAUAAUAGAACCUUUGCAAAUGAUAACCAAUCUAUAAUAAUCAUCAAAAUAGACAAAACCUCUUAAUAUUCUUUUAUAAAUGAACUGAAAUUAAAUAACACUAGUAAACUUAUAUUCAAAUAUUAUAACUAAGUCAUGAUAUAGUUGAAGGUGAUAUAUAGUGAAAAUAAUCAAAAUACAAAUUUAAAAAACAACAUGACUAAGUUACAUCCAAAUUUAAGAAACAACAUACAAAGUCAAAAUCAUCUAAGAAUUGUAAAUAAUCAUCUAAGAAAAUGAUAAAAUAGCAUCAAUAUGAAGAUUACUCUAUCAAAACAACUAUUUUUUUCAUACAAAUAAAUUCUGAAACUAAUACUAAAACACCUAACAUCUUUAUUAUUAACAUCUCUAAAAUUGCAACAAUUGAACAAUCUUCAACUCAUAUUUCAUUACUAUUCAAAGGCAUCAUUAUGAGUUAUGAUAUCAAUAAUUUAUUAUAAAACUAUAAAUAAGCAAAGUUAAUGGAUUUUAAAGUAUUUGGCUAAACAUUGGUAUGAUGAAAGUUUUCAACCAUCCACAAAUAAUAACUUGAUAUUAAAAAAUUAAUAUUGUAACAAAAAAUUGUUUACAUUCAAUUUUUAAAACUUAGAUUUAUUUCAUUGAUAUUUGAGUCAAUCAUAAAAUUUAUUAACCCAAACUCGAAAAACUUAUUAAUCAUUCAUUAGUUCUUUUCAAAGAACUGUAUUUCUUGAUUACAUCACUCAAAAAAAACAAUUGACUGAACACAUAUACAGCACUUAUUCAAAUGUUAUUCUAGUGUUAUCAGACAUUGUACAAUGUCAGAGAUAAUUACCACACCCCAAUUGACAUCCAAUAGUUAACUUAACACGAGUAUAUUAUAUGCACUCCAAACGAGUUCAAUAGAACUAUUCAAGUUCCAAGGUCACUACGAAAAGCUACAUACCUGAUUAUUGCAAGCUUCUCAGUUCCAUAAUGCUGCAUAAUAUAUAUCUCCAGCCUUCACUCCGCAACCACAACGCAUGCCGUUGAAAACCACAAGGCCACACUUGCCAAUUCACACGACGUCUGGAAAUGCUGACUUGAAGGACACCCUGACUACUGAUGCAUGAUUAAAUUGCAAAAUGAGAUCAAAUUCCAAACAGAGAGAGAGUCACAUGCACUACAAGGUCAGCCCUGACCGACAAAUAAGCACCCCGCAGCUUCUAUCAUAUAGAUAGGUGAGUCUGGGUAGCACUUAGGUUUCUUUGGACGCUCCUGCAACCAAAAGUCAUUUUGGAAUGGAGAAAAUUGUCUACUCUAGGAAAGAGAAAUUAAAUUUGCUGCCAGUAACUGAAUGAUUACUCCGACACAAAGAGAGAAGGUCCACAUCUUAUUGCACGAAUUCAGAGCCAACAGACAACAAAAAUGAGAACUUAUGAAGAAUUUGAAGAUGAAAAAAAAAAAAAAAAAAAAAAAAAAAGAAGAAGAAGAAGAAGAAGAAAGAAAGAAAGAGAAGCUUCACACUGGAACCAUUACCAAAUUUAUAUGAUUCGAGAGUUGGAGGCUCUAAAAAUUAAUCGAGAUUAAUGGUAUUUUCAGUUGGCUUUUUGAAAGCUUUUUUCAAAUACCAUGUGAAGAAAUGAGGUAAUUGUCAUAUAGCUAUCACUAACCUGCUUGUGACAUAGAGGAGCAGACUAAUUGUGCUUUGGUCACGAAAAUAAGCAGCAUGGUCACCUUGCCAACCGUUUGGUGAUUCGCGUUUGUUAAUACCACUGAACUUGCAUAUGUUUCCAAUCUUUCAUGAUCUCGUGGACUUUCUUAAAAGCGGCCCAUCUUCGCACUACAACAUUUAAGCCCCGGUAAUUUGCGGGGACCUCCUCACAAAGCGCGUCGUCAAAUUCAAAAUGUUCUUUUGAAAAUUUUCUCAAUCUCCACUCGAUCUGUUGAGCUGCACUCCGUUUUCAAAAUUUUAUGUCAGACGCUGUCUUCAAAAAAUAGUGUCUUCAAUUAUAGAAGAGAUGACAUUCUCCGUUUACAUAAAUAUGUAGAUUGCACUUAAAUUGUGAGCUUUGUACAUAAAUGUUGAAAAAGACCUCACAGGGAUUCCAAACCGACCAUUAUGACUCAAGAAUCGAUUACUCCAGACGUAUUGAGUAUUCCACUACGAACUUCACAGAUACAAACUGUUCUCAACCAAUUGUUCCGAUAGCACGAGGUUAAAUAUCUCCAAAAUUAUUAUUUACCAAGAAGAGGAAUACCUUCACUCCGGCUACUAAGACCCCGCAUAGUGCACACUAAACUCCAAGGACGACCCCCUCGAGUGGAUUUUGCACCACCAGCUAGCUCUCCAUUGUGCUGCCUCAACCUGCGGGCCACACAAAUCUUAACACAACCGAGCUUCUUGAAUAACUCAUUCAAAAUACGGAACAUCAACUGAUCGUAGAUGCGUUCAAGGUCCAAACGAAGUUUCUUCACAAACAAGACAAACUUUAUGUUACUUCAAUGAAACAUUCAUGUUUCACGCCAGUAGUGCAGAACAGUCUAACCCACCUUCUCAACUCCAACAAAAAAACACUGAAAAGUCAUAUUUCCUUUUAAAUUCAUAGGACAGAGAAUAGACCUCCUAGUAAUAUUUGCUGUGGCACCCAUAUACGUCCUUCGCUUAUCGUUUGACAAUAUAAGGUACACACACCACUCGUUGCCUUCAGCCUCGGCACUUUCGUCAUUCUCAGAAGCCUCUGAACCUUUUGUAUGCUCUGGAUCUUCUGUACCCUUCGUAUCUUCUACUCCAUCCUUAGGCUCGCUUACCGUUUUGCGAACCGUCUUCCUCUUCAGAGCUACACCCUUCUUAGCCUUAAUCUUCGCAACUGUUUUCGCAGGGCUUGUAUCACGCUCAUCAAAAAUUGGUGGCCGUUGAGGGGGAGACCUCAUACCAGCGUAAUCAAAUUCGUCUAUACCAUAUCGACCAAGUUCUUCAUGGCUACACCUAUUUUCCCCUUCAGUUUGAGAAAUGCCAACCGCUCUAACCACUGCAUCACUGAACAUUCUACACUUCGGUUGACUUACAUUUCUUCUUGACCAUUUUCCACAAGAAACUAGCUGUGGGGGAUGACCUGACGAACAAUGUACCAUUCCUUCUCCAGUACAUUCCGUGUAGUAAUUCAAGCAUGUGAAUCUACACUUCAAACCUACCAAAGACAUUUUAUUUGACCCAGUUAUUCUCCACUCAUAACAAGGGUUUAGUCGCAAGGGUCCAAGAUAGGUUUGUGCCAGGAUCAUGACCCUCCGACCCGCUAACAUCAGGGUUAAAGUUCAUCGUCUACACAAAAUCUGAGUAGAAUUUGAACUCUUGCAUACUGCAAAAUGGGAAGACAGGUUCGUGCCCUAAAAUUCAUAUUUCUUUCUCAAAACAAACACACACCAGCGGUGUCCGGCCUUCAACUCCACAACGAGGACUGCAUCAGGCUUGACAAACGCGACCCACCAUCCCAACACGACCCUCCUGCAACUCCUCGAUUUCUUCAAUUCCCGAAGCAAACGCACUGCAGAGCUUAAACCCAGAACCUUCCACUCAGCACGCUUGUCCAUCAACUAAAACCAACAACAACAACUGGGUUGAAGCAUCUCCACCAAACUAUCUCUCCACCCAACUAAGAAAAAGCGGCAGCUGCCACAUGGUCGUCUUUCGGCAACAAAUAAAAGGCAGGAGCCAUAUCAAAGGUUGCAAAUUCUCAAACGGAAAGGCAAAACGUUUCCCCGUCGUGCUAUGAAAACAAAGUCACUCACCAGGAACUGUAAAGCUCCCUCGCCGCUUUAGAACAAGGUGAUGAUGUGCUCAUGGGUCACGCGUCCGAUCUCCCUGGCUCUCACCAUCGCUGCGUUACACUCUGCAAGUACUCGCAAAACUCUAUCUCAUAGGGAAAUUGACGCCCCCUCCAAAUCUACAAGCCCCGUCUCCGCUCGCCACUGCGGAUCAGUCAGACUUGUGUCUGUGCUUAUUGGCUGCUUUGAAGGAGCUGAUAUCUCAUCGCUCGAGGCGCUCUUUGUUCAUCCAAUCUUGGAUGGUUCUCGUUUCUAAACGCAUCGGGGAGCCUGUUUUCUGUCCUGCGCGUUCGUCUUCUUCGUCGUCCACUGGGCUGCUGCCAAGUGUCUUGUCUGGAUUGGUGCAAUUUUUUAAAAUUACAAUAGUGAUUUCAAUAAUUUUAUUGAAAAUGAGGAUUUUAUUUGAAAUCACUAUUUUUUUCCAAGCUGGUUUAUUUUUGUCCAUACUUUGGCUAAACCAACUUGGACAAAAAUAGUUCACUAUUGUUUUAUAGCUCUUUUGCAUUUUCAUAAUUAAAAUCAAUUGCAUCUACUAAGUUUUUGUAUUCAUUUUUUGUAGAAAAAAAAAUUCUCAUUAUUUUUUUCUCAAAAUGUGGAAAAAUAAGAACUCUGUGGAAACAAUUUAUAAUAUUUGUGAUUAGAAUAUUUCAUCUGUUUGGACCUAAUUAAUUAUCAAACAACAUCAUCAUUAAAGGUGCCAGAUAUAGAAAUUUAUAUAUAUAUAUAUAUAUAUAUAUUAAAAAUUGAAAAUUUUAAAAUAUCAAACCAAAGAUCAAUUCUGUAGUGGAACACAAAAUAAAAUAAAUAAAAAGUAACUAUUAAUUAUAUUUAAUUACAUAAUAUUUAAAUAUAUAAAAAAUACUUGAAAAUGAUUUGAUUAGUAAUUUAACUUGUGUAAAAUAUUUUACAUUUAAAUAAAUCAGAGAUUAACUUUAACAUGUUGUACAAUAUAUAUAUAUAUAUAUAUAUAUAUCUCAACUGCUUCUAAACACAAUAUAUUUGUCGAUUUGGAUUGUAACUACUACUUUGCCACUUGAUAGCAUACAACUAUUAAUUUUUGAUGGUAAAAUUGUAUAAUUGUAAAAGCCUACACAAUUAUCAUACAACCUAAUAAGACAUGUACUAUCAAGUCAAUUGGAUUUCAAUUAAUAAACAAUCUGUUAGUAAAUUUUAAUUAAAAGCAUUAAUUAUUGUGAAGGUAGAUGAAGAAUUACAAAUAAAUUAAACUUCAUGAAUUUUUUAAAACUAAACUUUAAAUUUAGAAUAAAACGAAUAUUACAGUAACAGAUACUUUUUAUAAAAUUAAUGAUGGGAAUUUUUAGUAGAUAAAUUAAAUUUAGUAGUAUAAUAAAAUAGUUUAUAUAUUUAGUGAAAUAAUCAAUAUUUUACUAUAUUUUUAUUAGAAUACUUUUAUUUAUAAAUAAAAAAUAGUCUAUUUACUUUUGUAUUAAAUACUCUCUUUAACUUCAAUAACAAUGACUUUAUAAUUAUUAUUAUUUUUUAUUAUUUAUCUAUCAUAUUGUGUGUAAUAUUACAUAUACAUAAGAGCAUAAAAUGUUAUUAUUUUUCUUUGGAAGUACUAUAUUAAAGCAAGUCAUUUAGAUGUAGAUUUAAGAAUAUUGUAGUUGUGUAGAUUGCUAACUUUGUCAUGGUAUAUUAUUGCUAUUGUAAUAGAUUAGUUAUAAAAAUUCCUAAGCCAAAGAUAUUUGAAAAGCAAAAUAUAAAAAAAUUAUAGCUAGUCUUUUGUUCAUCUUAUUUAAUAUAGAUAUUUUAUCCAUUGUCACUUUUAAGAUAGUUGUAAUUUGGCACAAGAAUUUAAUUUAAUUUCUUUUAAAAGAAUUUCUUACAUAGUUGUUGCCAUUUCAAUGUAAUAUGUUGCUCCUGUAAUGUUGGUAAAACAAGAGCUUAAUAAAAGUGCUAGUAUAAAUGCCAAGUGUAGCCAAGUCUUAGUAUAAUAAGACAUGAAGGAGUGGCAAAAAUUACUACUGCAAUGCUAAAGUGUAUGGGCAUCAUGUGUUAGGCAAGUGCUACUCCAAAUUCAAUAAAAUGCAUCAGAGAAAGAAUGCAUGUGGGUUCCAAGCUCAAAUUUCUUAAUAUUCAAGAUCAAUAAGGUAUUGUGGUUCAAUGGCAUGGACAAGGAUUGCAACUUUGAUGGAAUGUUGCAACAUCUAUUAAAAUAUUACCAACUAAAUAUUGAAUUACCUUACUUUCUUUCUUUGCAACAUGAAGUUGUCUUGUGAUUGAAAAUUGUUUAGCAUACAAACAAACACUUCUUAUUUUAAUAUAUAUAUAUAUAUAUAUAUAUACACAUACACAUACAUAUUCUUUAAUAUACAUACAUACAUACAUACAUACAUACAUACAUAUUAUAUGAAUAUCUAGUACCAUCUUAAUUCUUAAAAAGAAUAUUUAAAAUACAUUUAAAUCCAUAAAUAAUAACUUCAUAUCUUAAAAUUUAUCAUAUUUAUAUGUAAUACAAUUGAACCUCUGUUAAUUUAUAUGAUAUAUUGCAAAGAGAGGAAAUAAUUAGCAAAAAAUAUAAAAUAUUAGAGUAGGAUUGAGAUUUGGCACAAUGACACAUGACUCCUUCCUCCUCUUCAAAGUGCAACCCUUCCACUUCCUUUCACAAUUGAUAUUUAACAAUGAAAAAAUCCAUAUUCACGCAACCCUUCUCCUCCCUUCAAUAAUUUUCAGUUGAGAAUGAAAAAAAUCCAUAAUCACAUUAAAAAAUUCUCAAUAUUCGUAUUAGACAUCAAAUAUCAAAGAUAUUAAUUACAUGCCUUAUUACCACAUUUGUUCCAUAACAAGGUAUCAAAUGUCAGAGGAUAUUAAUUUCAGGGGACUACUUCUCAGAAUUUCAACAUAGAUAGACAAUUUCAGAUUUUUUACAAAAAACUGUGAUUUGAAAAAAAGUAUAGAAAAUCAAAUAAUUAAAUUUCAAAAAAACGAUUGCAUGAAGAAUAAGAAGCAUGAAGAGGAGACAAAUAUGGGCAUAAUCGUAGAUUGUGUGCGUUCAUCUUCGCGGAGGGAGGUUUUGUCCGAGUCUCAAGCAUUUCUGCAUGCCAUGCCAUGCACAGAGGGCGUGAUGGCCCAUCGCCACCAACCUCUCUCUCUCAUGAUGCUUCGAGCCUCGUAAAUCUUGAAUUGGGGGCCACUCCCCAUCGCCGCGUUCCGAUCAUACCUUCAACCAGCAGCGUUGUUAAUCCUGAAUCCCUCUUUUCAACAAAAGUUGUGUCUCGAAAUUUGGGGUUCUAUGGGAUGAGAUUGAGUUUUCACGUCGGAGGGCAGGCACCUCGCAGCGCACAAUUACGCGCGACGGACCGUUGUGGGGAAGGUACCGAGGCGCAAGCUUCGAGCUUUAGUGAGAUAUGAAGGUUCUGCGGCGUGAUUGAUCGUUGAAGAGGUGGUGGAAUAUGGGGGGAUGAAGCAAGCGGCAUGGCGCUGGGAUUGUGGAGAUUUGAAGGGGAAUCGCGAGAGGUUCUGUAUGGCUGUCGCAGAGGAGCAUGAGUGAUGGACGCAUCCGAAUUGGUGCUUUGGAGUAGGUCCUUGAGGGCAGGGUUCCUGGUUGCGACCGUUCUUGGAUUGGUGGUGGUGAAGGGAAAGAGCGUCAUCUGGAGUGUGCAGAAUGUGGGUGUUCUAUGCAUUGGCAGGGCCCAUCGCAUUGGGCAUGGUCACGGGUGUGUUGCAGUACUUCGCUGCCCGCACUGUGCCCUUGCACGUCCGUGUUGUUGUAGGUUACGCUUGGUUGUGCGCCAUCUCUAUCAUCGUGCUUGUGCCCGCUGACAUCUGGACUGUAAGCAGUUUUCACACUCUCUUUUUCAUUUUGGAUUUUACUCUGCAGAACAGAUAGUGUCUGCACUUUUGUUCUCAAUAUUUACGACGCAGCAGGGCGUUGUUGGUCAUGGGAUGGUUGGUAUCCAGGUACACACUCUGCAUGUGUGCAUUUCUGGAUUCCAUUCUUUUGGAUCAUACCCUUCUUAAACUGCUUGGGGCUAUGUCAAACAUUGGAAAUCUCCGUCUGAAUUCACGACACGUUGUUCAUUUUUUUUUCCCACAAGUCGAGAUCCAGUUAUGUAAUUGCAUUGGUAAAAUUUUGAGGUGUAUUCAGUUUUGGAGGACCUGGCGAGUAGGGGUUUUUGUUGUCGAGAUUCUCAUUUUGUGUAUUACAAGCAUAUACUUCAUUCGCUCACCGCCUUGGGGUUACGUUCCCACCUUGUAGUUGUUCUCUAUUAGGGAUGGUAUUUUGGAGACGAGCUGGACCUGGAAGGGCAUCAUGCCCUUGAUGCUAGAAUUAAGUUUCAGAAGUUCCAUCGUUUUCCAUUAGAUCUUCUACUAUUCUUUUAAGUGUAUAGUCGAACCUCCACGUGGUUGUUGAUUUGUUUUUCCAAUUCAAGUUGUUCUGCGUACUGACUAAUUCUGAGUAUCAUCUUCGGAGCUUCUGUUUAGAUGUGUUGGUAGACAUUUCUCUCCUUGUCAUUUGGAUUUAUCGAUGGUUGUAAUUUUACGAGGCAGACUGUUCAUUUGCCUGACCGUAAGCCUAGCAUUGCUACAUUAUGGAGCUGGUCAUAUUGGAGCACUUUCUACCUUACCUGGUAUGUACGUUGCAGCACAUUCUAGAAGUAGCCUUCAUUUUGAAUUUUACUAUUUGUUUUCCUUCCUGUUGGAUUGAACCAUGCUCAGCUCAUAAUUACAGAUGAUGCUUAGACUUUUCGUAUGAGGCAGGUUUGUUGUGCCGACAUUACAGGGUUACGAGGACGCUGGGGAUUUUACGGUGUCAAAGAGACUGAAGACAAGCAUUCAUCAGAACUUUUCCUUUUAUGGGGCUGUGGGAUUUGUUGGGAGUGUGGGGGUUCUGAUUAUGAUCUUCAUGAACAAACUACACUGGUAUGGUCCACACCAUUUCGUUUCACAGGAAAGUGGUGAUCUGAUUUCUAGAGUCUCCCUGAUUUCUUGUUGUUCGGUGCUCCUCUCGCGAUUUCUUACAUUCUAGCACCGACACAGAGAUGAUUGGUGCUGCUUGCUUCUGUAAAACUAUGAAUGCCGUUCUACAUAUUUAUUUCACCUGAACCCCUGUUCCUUGUGUGCAUUUGUUUCCAGGGAUGGGCUUCUAGCAUUAGCAAUUGCCUGCUCCAACACUUUUGGACUAGUUACGGGUGCAUUUCUUCUGGGUUUUGGCCUGGUAGAAAUCCCUCGAAGCAUGUGGCGCAAUGCAAAUAUGGAGUAUCGCCAGAAAUACCUGACUCACAAAAUUGCACGAUGUGCCGUCAAGCUGGAUGACGCUCAUCAGGAGCUGUCCACUGCAAUUGUUGUAAGCUCUCAAAGAGGCUACUGACUUGGUAAUUGCAUUUUUUGGAUUCAAGUUACACACACGGGACAGCUUCCUUUUACUUGUGGUCUGAUGGAAUGAGUAAUCUUGUAUUUGGGGAGGUAUUUUCUCCAUCCCUUGAGUCUAUAUUCAAUUGUCCUUGGUUCUAACAGGUACCGGCUUAUUGCUAGAUGUCUGAAAGAUUAAUAGUCAUUACACCAUUCUGGCAAAUCCCUGUUUGGAGUUUCUGUUAGUCAGCCUUGAAAUGAACAUCUAUAGAUUUCAGGCUUGUGAGUGAAUUUAAAACUUUGAGGAUGCUAUCUUGUCGAGCAACUUUUAAUCUUAUUUUAUGUCUACUCGAAUAGAUUGCACAAGCAACUUCAAAUCAGAUGCCAAGCCACGAUAUACUACGGCCAUGCAUGGAUGUAAUCGAUGACAUGAUGGUGGAAAUGGUUAGGUCUUUGCGUUUACCCUUGAGUUCAUGCAAAGAAAGGCCUCGUAGAUGAAUAUUAGUUGAUCUUCUGCACAAAUUGGCACGAUCUUAGAUGUUUGUCUCUACAUUCGUGUUGAAUCAUGUGCAAGCCAGUUUUUUGCAAGUCAAGUGAUAGUUUGUUAGUGCAUGUAGUUUGAGCGCAGUGGGUGUUGUUCAUGUGGUCAUUGAAUCUGUUUGUGGGUGCCACAACAAUGCACACUAUGCUUUUGAAUCUGAUGGCUGUGAGGAUCCCAGUAUAGGGGAGACCCAGCAUUCAAGCCAUCUGGUGGAAGAAUGGGUGAAAACGAUAUGGACUAUGAUCAGAAUGAGAAAUCGAUGGCUGCACUUCGAAGGCGUCUUCGUAAAGCACAGAGUGCGUACUAUCGAUACAAAAGGUGUUAGUUGUUACUUCCUGCCUUAUUGUUGCAGUAACGAUAGUUAUGAAUCAGAUCGUCGAUGACUGCUUGUCCUACCUGUACUUGAUUCGAUAUUUUAGCUGGUGGUUUCCCUUUGCAAUCACGGUAGCACAGACAACUGUACACAGUGAAGCUCUUUGCUGCUUAAGUAACUUAGAAGCUUGCAAUGAGGGUUCUGAAGCCCAGAAACUUAUGUCAAUUCUGCUGAUGGUGAUAAUAAUCUGCCACUCGUUUUUCUCUGAAUGAUCAGUGACUACACGUUAUAUAUUUGGGAGGCACUUGAAUUGGAAGAGAUAGUGAAGAAUGUUCAGCGGGGGAGUAAUACAGAUGGGUAUUUAUUCAGGCUUUUCCUGCACUGGUCGCACGCCACCAUCUAAACGAGUCUUUGAACAGAAUUAUUCCAUUCACAAAACUCGAUAGGCAAUAUGAUCUUUCUCAUUCCAUUGCAGUCUUAGAGUUUAACAUUCGAAUUCUGUAUUCAGAUUUAUAAUUGAAAAUGACUGGCCAUCUGUUCAUAGUUUUCUAUUCGAGAUUCUCUUUUUGUUGCAGGCGAUUUGUGUCGACAAUUCGACCACAACGUACUGGCCCCCUUGCUGAUUUUCUUGAUAGAGCUGGUAAGUUUUCUAUUGAUGAAUUUGACCCGUUUUGUUGUUAGAACAUAUGAGCAAUUUUUAUAGUUUUAUUAUGACGGCCAUGCUUGAAUGUGAGUGAUGCGAAGCACGAAGUACGAAGCACUGACAUUCGUACAACCAUGCCCUCUCAUCCAAAUCGCUUCAGUAUUGUGAUGUGCAUGUUUUGACCGCGAUUGGAUUUCUCUGUAACUCCGACCUACGGUACUCGUGAAGUUAUGUUGCCAUUUAGUAAGAUGUUUUGUUGAUUUUCUGAAACUUCUUUGUAGCGGCGACUAAUUUUCUUUCUCAAUUAUGAACUUGGUUGCAGAGUAUGUGUGGUGCUCGCAACUUAAACAGUAUGUGGUUAAAAUUUCAGCUAUAUUUCUAGGAACCAUGUCUCUUGCAAUUGUGAUGGCUGAAGCCACCCUUAUGGUCGAAGCAGAUCUUUCUCUCUUGUCUUUGCUGCUCAGAGCGGUUGGAAAUUCAGAAAUACUGGUACAGGUUAGUCAUCAUGGCUUUCGCACUGUAACCGACACAGCGUUGGUUAUUAUAUUUGUUUCAUAGGCUGAUGGAAAAGAAUAGUUUUAAUGUCAAUUUUUUAAAAAUUCCAUAGCGGACGUUCUUUGAACUGAUGGGUGGAUGUGACUUCAGCCAGAUAUGUCUUCAAUCUCAACCCCUGUGGAAGAGGUGUUGAGGCAGUUUUGGCUUAGUAUGAGACGAAUCGUAGUUCUUAGCUCCAGUCGUUAGAACUAAUUUGGAAACUGUCUCUGUCUGAUAACGACAUCGUGGCUACUGUAUCGUUUGAGCAGUAUUCUACGCGAAAACGUACGUUUGUGCAAUGUGCUGCAGGUGGUUGCAUUUGUACCUUUGGCAUAUAUGUGUGUGUGUACGUAUUUUUCUCUUAUCAAGUUGGGAAUGAUGACAAUUUAUUAUCUAGCGCCAAAGCAAACUAGCUCUGUCAGCUUACUCAUGAUUUGCUCGUAAAAUAACUUACUCCUUUACAUUCUUUCCUUCUCAUGUACUUGCCUUAGUCGAGAAAGGUAAUUUUAAGCACUUCACUCCCUUGUUAAUUAGUAGAAGGCGGUUACAAGUUAACAACAUUUGACAUCAUGCCAUUUCUCACCUGAACUACUGCAACUAAGUCGUUGCGAUCCCAGUUGCACAUCAAAUUGCUUAAAAAUGCUUCCAUAUUUAAUGUUUGUAUAGCUGAUAACUCGCUAUUGAGAAUAUUUAUCAUGCUGUAGAUAUUCCGUGUGGUAUUUUGUUAGCCCAUAACUAGUUAGAACGACAUCAGUGGUAUCGUCAAUUUGUGUAAUAAUCCUUCGAAGGGUCUACUAAGACUAGUACAGCUGGGCAAUGACUUGUUUACGUUGAAAGAGUAUUUGGUUGUGAUCGCAGGAUGAUUGCGAGGUAUGCAGCACCCCUCUGUUACAACUUUCUGGGCCUGAUCAAGCUCAAGAAUGCAGACGGAACCGAUCAGAAAACUGUUUUUGAGGAUGCAAGUAUAAUUCCUUAUGGAAACUUUGGUGGUUGAAGCAUUCAGUUGACGAUGGAGACUAUUAGUUUUAUGAUCUUGUGCCCGCUUCACUUUUGAGUCCCUGAUUUUCAAGUUGAAUACUAGAAUGCAAUUUUAGUGAAAGUCUUUUACAAGAUGAUACAUCACUUCCCUCAAUUUGGAGUUUUUUUAGAAGCUGAUUGUGACGUUAUUGGUGGAUGCAGAAAAUGGGUUCUAUGACUGUAAUCCCCUUCAUUGGAGAUGAAAGAUUCAACACUUUCUAUCCAAUAUUCAUGGUAAUUUACACUGGCUUACUGGCCAGCAAUGUCUUGAACCGUACAAUGAGUUACUUCGGCAGCUGGCGAUAUUUUAGAAGCCGUGACGCUGAAGAUGGUCAAGGGUUUGAUCCGUUGGGUCUUGUCAUUCUCCGUAAAGGUAUGUGAAUCUCCAAUGGUGAUCAAAUUUAUUUACCUUGGUUAAAGGUCGGUUGUGAGUGAGUUGUUUCUCACCACUUAGUGGAUAAGUGAAAAUUUGAUGAAGUGGUAUACAUUUCACGUGCAACGAUAGUCUUUCAUCAGUAAAAAUAUUAACUGCCAGGUUAGAAUCUAUUGUCGUGGACCGUGGAAAUUGAGGUUGAGGCAUUUGGGUUGUUCUACACUACCAAUGUGAAGUAUUGUAUGUUCAGGCUCUUUUUGUACCCAUUUAUGUUUGCUGGCGUGCAGAGCGGUCUUGGCUUCAGCAGGGUGCUGUAGUAGGAGAGAAUGUUGUGCCCCUAGCUCGCAACUUUGGCAGCGCUGAAUUGGACGUUGAACCUGAGGGAACCAAUAUGAAGGUAAUUACUCGACCUCGUGCUUAUGGUGACGAUAAUAUUUCAAUUGAGGACUUCGUUCAGUCUCAAAAUGAAGCAACUUUUCAACACGAGGAUCGGUCCAUACCGUCAAUUUCCAUGCCAAAUAAGUCGUUAGACACGACGUAUGUGUAUCUCCAGGGAAUGAGCAUUAUAAAUACAUUCUUUUCUUCCUCAUUGAUUGUCUAAUCAUAGGAGUGACUUGUGCCUUGUGCCCUGAAACUGCUGGUGCUGUUUAAAUAUGUCAGCCUUCGGCUCAUCUCUGCAUCGUAGUUUCGUAAAUCCUCCCGUAAUAUACUGAUAAGACGUUGUGUUGCAGAAGGCAACUUCUGACAAACAGGACUUGCAACAGAACUCAUCUUUGAUUAGUGCAUACAGUGCACCACCAGAUAAACACGAAGGCUCUGCUUAUUAUCAAUAUGGACGAGUGAAAAAUUCCCCAUCUAAGAGUGAUAUUGUUUCCAAGUACGCCACACUUCGAGAUGUUUCUAAAGCACCCUCCAGUGGCAAUCACAAGAUCCCAAAGAGAGAACCUUCUGGUAACAAUAUCAGAGACCCUUUCGAAGUGCAACAUGGGGAGUUGACGAGAGGGGUGACUCCCUCAACGAAGUCACCGGAACCUCCAGCAUCAACUGACUUGCAAACUGCAUCGCCUAGAAAUCCUCAACAGUUGGAUAGCUCAGUUGGUAUCAAGUUUCCAGUGAACUGGGACAUAAUGAAGUCUGGGUGGCAGAACUUAGGAACAAAUCGGUUUUCCCCUGAAAGAAAUGACACGGUUAGAAGUCCACCACAACCCACUUCCACACAGACACUAGAUAGAAUUUUCGAAGGCCUGAGAGCAAGGAACUGAGUUUUAUAUCAAAGGUCCUGCAUCUGGAACUACUCUUUCGUGGAAGCUGAAUGCUAACGUCUUCCCUUGAUUAAUGUGCAUUUGUGAAUACCGAGGUGUGUUCUACAAACCCCAGCUCAUCCUUACUCACUGUACUGUUUUAGAAUACAGUUUUCUUGAUUUUAUAAUUGGUUUAUUGCAUGGCAUGAAGUCCCUGAAAGCAUGGAUUAUUUGGUGCAAAUUUUCAUAUGUAAUUUUUGUGCAUAUUUCUAGAUUUUUGUUCAAAAUUGAUUAAGGUUUUGCUUUAAAUAUCUUUAAUGGGUCUUCAGGAAGUGCAAGGAUGUACAAGAUUUGAAUUUUAUAUUUUGAAUGAUAGAUAAAACAAGAAACAAACAAAUGAUUGUUUGGCAUGCAGGGUGUGAGAGGAUAUCAUUAAAUUCAAUUGAUGACAUAUAUAUAUAUAUAUAUAUAUAUAUGUAUACAUACUAGUUGAACCUGUGUGCCAUUGUCAUAGAGAAUAUGCAAAAAUAUAUUAUACUAGAAAUUGGGUACAUCUUCAAUAUCAAUAAUAAUGAAACAAUGUUGUAAAAUUGAGCUUUUAAGUAUGCAUAAGUAUACAUACUUACAUGCAUAUGUGUAAUGAAUGUGGUUGUUAAUUAAUAACAUCACAUACUUGUGUUAUCUUAGAAUUGUCAUGGUAUCAUAUUUAGAAUUUAGAACAUUCAAUUUAUAAAAACUAUAUGUGAAAUGGUUUCAUAAAAUUAUAAUAAAACAAGUGAUGCACCUCAUCAAAAUUCCUAUUCAAUCCAAAAAAAGUCACACAACAUCGUUUAUUCUUUUAUGAGUAGGAUAUGGAAUAUCUUAGUGAGUAUCUUGUUUAAGGGUUUGCUAAUUCUGGAAGAAUUUGAUUUGGAGUUUCUUUGCAAAAAAGUUUGCCCUUAAGCUCAUGGAUAAUGUGAAAAGGAAAUUUUAAUCUUUGAAAGAAAGUCUAUAAACUUCAACUAGUCAACUGAGGUUAAAAAGUUUGCUAUAAGAACAAAGUUUAUGUCAAGACAAACUUGUCUUAUAACUUUGUUGUACAUAUAAGUGAAUUAGAAAUUUUAAAUUAUUCUAAUUCAUGUUGAUAUCACAUGGAUUUUGUAAAAAAUUGAUGGUCUCCACAUGAAAAAUUCUUUUACUUUAAAAAAACCUCUUUGUAUUUAGUAAUCAUUUUAUAACUCAUAUUGCAAAGAUUUGUCUCUUAUUAUUAAAAAGAUUUAGAAAUAAUUUGGUGUUGAAUUAGUUGCAGUGCUUUUUUGACUAUCAUAUUCAACAAUCAAUAUUAUUCUUGAGCAAAAGUUCAAGACACAGCACACAUAAAGGUAACAAAUAUAUGAAGCACAAUUACAAAAAUUAAUAGUUGCAAAAAAUGAUUUGAUUCAAGAAAAAUGGAUUUUUCUUUGGUAUUUGAUGAUCAUCUGCACACUAGUGCUUGAAGUAAUAAUACCAGCUUUAUAAAAGGCAAGGAUUAUCAUUUGAAAAUUAUAUUCAUAUAGAUUUAAAUCUCAAUAAUAUUUUUGUCACCAAGUAGGUUCUAUAUGUUGAUAAUUAAAGCAGAGCAUACUUUCUUGCUUAGAAACACAUAUUGCUCAUGAAAAUUUAGCUUCUCCUAUUUCAGAUUCAAAUAAUUUUCCUUGAUAAUUGAAUGUCAUGAAGUCCAAGAUUGUAAAGAAUAUUAUUACUCUACAAGUACAGUCACUUGGUACAUGAUUGAACAAAAGUAUUAUGUUUAAUGAGAUCAACAUGAACUUCACAAAAGCAUUUGUACUUUGAAAUACCUGCCCAAACAUUUUAUUGCUCAUUCUCUAAUAAAAAUUAAAUUUAAAAUACUCUUAAGCAAACAUCAAACUUCAGAUCAUCACAUUCUUUUAUUAAAAAAAUAAAGGCUUUUAGGAUUUCCACCUAUUUGCUUCCACAUUUGGUAAUACUAUAAGAAAAGAACCUAGUACUUUUAGAUUAGUCCAUAAAAACAAAAGAAGACUUAUAGUGACCUCAACGAUCACUUGAAAAGUAGAGCAACAAAAGACACUAAUCACAUCACACCCCAUUAUUAAGAAAAGAAAGGAAACAAAUCAAAUCUAUACAUGCAAUCAAAUACUUUUAAGAAAGAUAAAUGGUUUAAAAAUUCCACUCACUUGUACAUUUUAUUCUCAGAUCUUCAAAGCACUCUUUUUUGUAAAAAUAAAAAAUAAAAAAUAGAUCUAUUGCCACAAGUUUUGUAUAUGCAAAAAUUAACAUAUAUUGAGAUAUUUGUUGACAUCAUAUUAACUACAAUAUAAAUUUAUACUCAGUCAUCUCUUCAACUCCUACAAUCACUCUUGUACUUCUAAAAGAGGAAAUUUUUAUUUAUUACUUAUAAACUUAUGCACAUAAUUCAAAUAAUUAUUAUUCAAAAUAAUAAUCUCUAUUAAUAUGAAUCCACUCUUGCAUAAUCCUUGCAAACCUCUCAAAGUGAGCAAUCAAGUUAUAUCUUAUUAUACAAAAUGAAACAAAAUCACUUCAAUUUUUUUAAUCAUUGACCUCAUUAUCCAACUCAAGAGAAGAAUAUUUUUGUAACAUUGAAGAGGAUACAAUCAAAAUUUGAGCUUUACAUAGAUGCUUCACAUAUCACGUAGUUACAAAAAGUUAAGCUUUACAGUUGUUUGUAGCAACUAAAUUAGAUAUGCCUUUUGUACUAAACCAAAGUAUAUUAAAGAAUGGCCAAAAUAAGCUCUUCUUUAGAGCUUUUUUCUCCCCUCCUCUCAAAAAAAAUACAUGCUAUUGCUACACUAUCCACCUCAUGAUCAGCUAGCCCGCCACCAUUAUUCAAGCUAGAUUUGAAAAAAACAAUCUCUACCACAUUUCAAGAAGAAUUGAGCUCCAAUUUCAACACCACUUUGAACAGUGCUAGUACUUCUGCAAUCCAACUGAUAAUGCAACUUUGCUUGCAACUAAACUAUCUUUUUUUGGAAGCAAUCCAAUCUACAUGCAAAAUAUAUCAAUAUAUGAUUAACCAUAACCAAAAGAAUAAUAGAAUGGUAAUACUCUUGUUGCCAUGUACAACUUAAAAUAAAAUGAGCAUAUGGUAUUACCUUCUUCAAAGAUGCCUCUCCAACACUUCUUCUUUGGGAGCUAAACAAUUCUUCAUUGCCUGAUUUUCUUCAACAUUGAUAUUUGGAAUAUAUACGUGCCAUACCACAAUCGAAAUACAUUAAUUUUCAGAAAAGUAAAAAAAUAUGAAUCUAUUAAUUUGAUAGUAAAUCUAUCAAAUGUGAAUCUAAUUGCAAAUAUGGAAUCAGUGAUUAAGGGAUAUUUGUAUCUUACCAAUGUCUGCCAUAAUUACCACUUCCUCAAUAUGCUCCAAAAUUUGCACAUAUUUAAACAUUGAAAUAAAGAAAUUGAAUACAUUGUUUUUAAUGCUUUUAAUGAAAAUAAAAAAAGAUGUAUGUAGAAAAUAUAUUGUUCAACACAUUGUUCAUCCAAAAUUUCAUGUUCUAUUAAGGCCUUGUGAACUCCAACAUUUUACUUUUGAUGAAAACAAAGAAAGAUGCAUAUGGUAAAUCAAAACACCAUUUUGUCUCAAUUGAAUUGUAUAUAUAUACAUAUAAUAUAAGAAUGAUUAUUUAAAAAAUUAUUUAUCAUUAAAUAAUACUAAAUUUAUUUAAUUCUACUAAUAAAUAUAAUUCAAAAAAAUUAUAUUUUAAAGUUAUUUAUAAAUCUAUAAUAAUAAAAUAAAUUUAUUUUGUUUUUGUUUUUUUAUGUUGUUGCAAGGUUUUUAAUAAAUAUAUAGUUUUGCAACAAAGAUAUUGACUUAAAAUGAUUUCUAAAUAAUAUAAUAUUAAAAUAUUAAUAUCAUUUUUAUUACUUUAUUUUAAUUAUGAAUUAAAAAUAAAAGAUAUUGUAAUAUAAUUGAAUUGUAUAUUGAUACCAACUAAAGAAGUUUUUAAGAAUCUAAAGUAUUUAGAAAAAUAAUAUAUUAAUAAUAUAUAUUCAAUUAAAUUUUAUUAAUAUUUAUUUGCAUUGAUUUAAAUAAAAAAUAUUCUAGUAUUUUUUAUUAAAUUUAUUAUUUAAAAAAAAUCUUAUUUUUUUAAAAAAAUUAUAUAUUUUCUUUUCAGAUAUAUAUUUUUUAUUUAAAAUUAUAUCUAUUAAAACUUUAAAAAUAAAAAUAUGUUAAAUCCUAUAGUAAGUUUUGUAAAGACAAAAUAUUUUCUAAAAUAUUAUAAUAUUUAUAAGAUGUUUAUAAAAAAAUUUAGCUACUAUAAAAGUUAAUUAAAAAUUUUAUAUAAAUUAAUUAUAUAGUUUCUUAAUAAUUAGAGCCUUUUAUUGAAUUUAAUAAUGAAGAUAAUUAAAUUAAAUUAUUCUUUUAACAUUAGUUAAGUUUACAUGGAAUACAUCUAAGAUAGUUGACUUAUUAGAACUACCAAAAUUUAGUAAUAGCAUUUGUAAAAUUUUUGAUAUUUAAAAUAAAUUCUAGCUAUCAAUAUAUAAAGGCUCAAGUUACUAGUAAAUUUUAAGUUGUUACACAUACACUCAAAAAAUUGGAGGCCUUUGAUUGACUAAUUGUUGUUGUCUAGACUCUAAUACUUGGCACAAUUGCAAGGAGGUUAGGGAGGAUGCAAUGCUUUUCUAUGGUGGUCCUAUUGAUCAAUUAAUGAGCAAUGUCUUGUGUGGAGGUUUUUGGAAAUAAAGCUAUCAAAAGAAAAUUUUGAAUUUGAACUCUAUCCCACUCUUGUUUACCAAUAUUGUUUAUUAAUAUGUUAGAUUACAAUACAUAUUAAGUUUAGGAUCAAAGCUUUACUUUGUUUCUUUUAAGUUUUUGUAGCAUUGGACUCAAAAGUAGUGAAUGCAUUUGCAUGCUAUACUUGCAUCAUUUUUUUAUUUUUUAUUUUUUAUUUUUUUAUUUUUAAUAAGAAAUGAUAUGCAUUCUUUAGUAUUAAAUUAUUUAUUCUUUGAUAUUUACAUUACUUCAAUCAAUUCUUUGCUCCACAUUUACAAAUGAUGAUUUUUUACUAGCUUUAACUUGCUUAUUAAUAUUCUUGUGGAUUACUAGAAGAGAAGAUUUUAUCUCAUGAAAAAAAUUUAUGAAAAAAAUCUAAGACAUGAAAGAAAAGCAAGAAUUUAGUUCAAUCAAUGAUUUAUCUAUGGCCAUGCUUAGAAUUAUCAUAAUACUAUAUUAUGUAAGAUGUUCUAUUAUUUAGAAUCUUAUUAACUUUCUGAUAGGCAUGCUAUUCCUCUUCAAAUAAAUCUGUUUGUAAUUUAUCAAUCUUUAUAAGUAUAAAUAUAAUUUGAAUAUAAAUUUCAAAAUUGAUAUCAAUUAUUUUUAAGGAAGAAUAUAAUACUAAGAUUAAAAGAAAAUUUUUCUACAAUAAGACCAUAAAUAGCUAAUUAUCAAGGACAAGAAUUUGAUAAAAAUAAAUAAACAAGUGAGACUUUUCUCAAAGAAAGAUGACAAAAUAGAAAUAACUAAAUAUGUAUAUUAAGAAAGAAACUUGAAUGGCUAUUGCCAAAAGAUAAAAAAACUAGAGACCCUUGAAACUAGACUAUAAGCAAAAAAGAAGUUGAUAAGAGAAGAAGGCUUCACUCUUGCCUCUAUAUAUACUAUCUAUCUAGGAGCUACGUGGCGAUGUCGUGUUGCAACACGACUAUAUGGUAAAAAUAUAAAUGGAAAAUAUUUAUUAAUAUUUAGUCAUCUUAGAUGUUAGAAACAGUGGCCAAUUCCAGUGCCAAUAUUCAGAGGCCAGUUAAUAUCACCCCAUUGCAAGCUAUACCACCGAAUGUAACAAUAGUGUAUGCUCCACAGGCAUCAUCGAACCAAGUACCCUCCAUACCAAUGGGACAACCAAGAUCAUUUUCUAAUCUUACAUGGAACAAGCCUAGUAAGUAUAUACCAAUGGAGACACCCAAUAUGCCUGAUGGAGGUGCAAGAAGACCACUUCGUUGUUUCCAUUGCAGACAGGUUGGUCAUUAUGCUAGUGAAUGUCUCAAUCCUAGAGCCAAUGACAAUUACGUGCUAGUGUGUGGGAAUAGUAAGCAGUCAGGGCAUACUUAUCAACAAUGUAAUGCCCCGUUUAAUUUCAAUAAUUGGGAUCAAUAGAUCCAAAGCCAGGGAAAAAUUGAAGGAAUAAAUCGAGGUCCUUAAGAUUCUCUAGUAAAUCGAGUAGAAUAAGUGCGAGCUGUUCUUACCAGGAAUUGACGAAAGGAAAAAGGACCAAUUCAAUAUUUAGGUGAGUCUGAUGUGAAAGGCCAAUUUGACCCAAUUACAAGGACAUUCAAUCCAGGUCCUGGUAUGGGCCUCUUACCCAAUAUGAGACCUGACUCAGUUGGGCAAUCCAAUGAGGUCCCGAAUACGGAGGCUUCAGUUCUAUUUCAAGCUGUUCCAUUCUCUAUGCCGUUUCAAGGAAACAUCUUUUUCAUGGAAAGAUCCUCUUAGAGGUGGAAAUUCUAUGGAAGCGGGUCUAUUGUUCCAAUUCAAAGUCCAAGGCGGAAGAAUAGGGGACCUCACGGAGUUAAAGGAAAGGAUAGGAAAAAGAAGGGGACAUUCGGAGAUCAAGAUUUUGGAGUCAGAGAGCUAGCUUCAAGCUCCUUUGAAAGGUAUAGAAUUGGAUUUCAUAGGAUUUGGCAGGACUUUGCAAUCGUUACUCAAAGUUAGCGUUUGUAUUGGUGAAUUGGAUUUUUGCAAUAAAGUAAAGGCUAGUACUCUUGAUUGUUUUGCGAAAUUGGAGAGACAUCUAUGGUUGAAAUUUUAGAGGUGUCUAGAUGGUUGAGUAUACUAAGUGCAUGCAAAAAUUUGUGUUAAUCUUAUGGUACAGAUAGAGGAUAUUUGAUCAUUAGUAUAAAGAGGUAUCAGAAGUUGGCAUAUUAGAGUUGUUUAGGAUUUUUGUAAUAUGUGAGAUCUAUCAGCUGGAAUAAGGUGAAUUUUGAUACGGCAAGUCAAGGAUUCAAAGGCGGAGCUACACACAAAGUUUGAAUGAGAAUUAACAAUCAAAGAAGGAGAAAUUGUAAGUUAAAGUUCGUCAUCAACCUUCUAGGCGGUGGUCAAAGGACUUCAACGUGGAUUUACGGUGUUUUCUUGUAAUCUGUAAGUUGGAUUGGAUUGAACUUCUUGAGUAUUUAGAAGACUUGUAAAAAUACUAGUGGUAGAAGUCUCACAAUAAUCGGAUAGUCAAAUUGACAAUUACAGCUUGUCGAGGCUUGCUGUUUAAGGUUAGGAUUUAAAAAAAUAAAAAAAUAAAUGAAAUAGAAAUAAAAAUAAUAAAUAAAAAAAGAAUCUAUGCUUAUAAUAUCUAUAAGCUAUUAAAAAUAGUAUUCUAAGUAGUUUAUAUUGGAAUUAAGCUUUUAUAUUGAAAUCCAAAAUAAUUUGUGUUUAGAUAGUUGAAACACACUAGACUACUUGGAUACUUGCAAAACAUCGUUUUAUCUUUGACUGUCAUACGUCCGGUGUGUUCUCAAGCUAGAUAGCAUGUAAUACAACAACGACAUUCUAUAGGACCUCCAAAAAUGUAUUGACUUUACACAACAAGUAUCUUAACUUGCAAGGUAAGUUUUCUAUGUGGGCGCCAUAUAGUUAGCGUAUUCUGCAAGCUAUCAACAUGUAUGGUACGUGGUUAACUUGUUGACCAAGUUUCUAACCUAUCAAUCAAGUAUAAAUACAUGUAAAGUCAAAGCAGUGUCUAUGAAGCUUCUAAGAAGCUACUUUAGAAGAUAUUAUGAAAUUAAUCUACUUUUACCUACUUCUUCCUAUUUAUAUCACCUAGGUAACAAUUACAAUAAAUAUAUGUCCAUGAUAUUGCCCCCCCUUCUAGGAAUAAGUUCCACAAGGAGUGGUGAUUACAUGUUGAGAAAGUCCAAGAUGCGACAAAUUAUAUUUGCCACAUACUUUGAUCUUUGUUCUCUUCAAAGAUGAUUGAUAGGGCCUCUCAACUAUCAAUAGUGUCCCAUAUCAGGGUAAGAAGACCACCAUGUUAUUUGAUCUUUGUUGAGGUCUUGAUAACUUCCUUCAAAUAAAAUACUUGGAAGACCAUCAAGAUUUGUUCCUAUCUUUAGUAAAAUCACCAAACAUUGGGAGUCCCCUCCAAGGUCGUGAUACCAAACGCGUUGUAUCUUGCCAUUUAUUCGAGGAAGAACAUGUCGUUCUUAAGGAUCUUCAUCUCCAUUACGUCGUCUUAAACAUUGUGACAAUCAUAAUGUCUCAUCAAACAGGUUAGCAAACAAAGGUUCUUCAGUCGAACCCAUUGGUUGUUGGUUCUCCAUCUCCUCAGCAUCACAACUACAAAAAAACUACAAACAAGGAUUAAAAGUAGAAUGUUAUCUUAUUUAAAUCUUGUUUCUUUUAUAAGAGAGAUUUUUAUUUUGAUUUUGAUGGAUGUCAUCAAUGAAAAGCUUCCACCACCUUUUUUGUAUUUACAAGAUUCUUUAUUGGCUCCCAUGUACAUUCACUAAUAUCAUAUCCGUGUCAAUGGACAAGAUAUUCUAAUUUAUUUUAACGCCGCCUUGAAUCUAGGACUUCUUCCACUUCGAAGUCUUCAUUAUUAUCUACUUCUAUAAGAGGAGGUAGAGCUUGUCUUCUUCUUGGUAUGUCCAUUGUCUUAUAUGAUUCAAGAAGAGAUACGUGGAAUACUGGAUGGAUUUUCAUUGACUUUGAUAGGUAUAAACAAUAUGCAACUUGAUUGAUUUGUACAAAAAUAGAAAAUAGUCCAAGUCUUUGAUAGACCAACUUGUCACAAGAACAAAUGGUCUUGAUAUUGUGAUGAAAGAACUAUACCUUGUCACUCAUGUGGAAUGGUGGUUGUUCCUUUUGAUAGACAUCUGCAUUCAUCUUUUGUUGUUCUUGAGCUUCUUUUAACUACACCUUCAUUGUUGCAUGUAGGUCUAACAAAUGAUUUACCAAAUCUUUUGUCGCACGAUUAUCAACUUUUGAAAAGUCAAAAGUAUCAAGUCAUGGAUGAUAACCAUAAUUGGCAAAGAAAGGUGUUUAUUUUGUAGAAGAAUAUAUCUUGUUAUUAUAAGCAAACUUUGCCAAUGGCAAAAGAAUUGUCCAAUCAUCUUGUUGGUAGUUGAUGGUACAUCUUAAAUAUUACUCCAAAACUUGAUUAACAUGCUCUGUUUGUCCAUCAAUUUGAGGAUGGAAUACCAAAGAUACUUUUAUAUCCACUUUUAGAAUCUUGAAAAGAGUCCACCAAAAUCUUGAUACGAACUAAGUUCUCUUAUUGGAUAUAAUAUCCUUGGGUAAUCCAUAACAACGAUAGAUGUUGUUAAGAAAGAGUUUAGCUGUUACUCCACAUAUGAUAGAUUUUGUACAUGAUAUAAAAUAUGCCAUCUAGGUAAAAAUUUCUAUUAUCAUGAAUAUAGAGUCAUAAGAACUUGAGAUUGGAAGAUCUAUGAUAAAAUCCAUAAAAAAAAAAGACCAUGGUUGUUCUAGAAUAGGUAAUGGCUGAAGAAAUCUAUAAGGUAAAUGAUGAGGAGUUUUUGAUCUCGAGCAAACAUCACUAGAUUGUACAAAAUCUUUGACUGCCUUUCAUAUUUGAGGCCACCAAAAAUCCUUGGGUAUUAGUUCCAAAGUUUUAUUGUAUCCAAAAUAUCUUGCUCUUGGAAAGUCAUGACGAGCUUGAAGAACAUGUAAUCGAGCUUCACUUUCUGGAACAUAUAGGCGUCUGUCAAAAUAUAGUAGAUUUUUCUUGAAUUCAAAAUUAAAGGUAUCAUGAGACUUUGAAGGAUUUUUCUUAAUAUCAAGAAGAAGAUCAAAAGACAUAUUUGACUAAACUUGCUUAAUAAAAGUUGAAUCAACAGUUAGUAUUGAUUUCAUUACUUGAAGAUGAAGAUGCUCUAGCUUCAAGAGAAUUAUUUGUUGCUGAUCAAAAGUAGCAUCUCUUUCCUUUGGUGCGAGGUAAGAUCGUCUAGAGAGUGAAUCUGACAAACCUUGUUGUUUCCCUAGUUGAUAAGUGAUCUUGAAUUUGAAUCUUGACAAAAAUAUACUUCAACAAACUUAUUUAUAAUUCAAAAUACGUAUUAAUAUAAAAUAUUCAAGAUUCUUGUGAUCCGUACAUAUAGUGACUGGAUUAGGAGCACCUUUUAGAUAAUAGUACCAUUCUUGAAAUGAAUCCAUGAUUGCAAGAACUUCUUUGUCAUGGAUCUUGUAGUUGAUCUCGGCUGUUAAAAAGUUUUUAGAAUGAAAAGUUAAUAGAUGAAAUUUAUCAUCUGUUUCCAUUUGUGACAAUACGGCACCCAAAGCAAAGUCUGAUGCAUUUAUUUUUAUAAAAAAUGGCUUAGAAAAAUCAACGCAAUAUAAGAUUGGUGCAGAAACAAAGGCUGUCUUCAAAGCUUCAAAUGCUACUUCCGCUUCUUGAUUCCAUUGAAUUUUGUCUUUACAAAUCAAACAUAUAAGUAGAGAUGCAACUUGAGAGAAGUUUUUGAUGAAGAUUCAAUAGUAGUUGGCGAAUCCCAAAAAACAUUGGACAUCUCUUACCAUUAUUAGGUUCUUCCAAUCUAUAAUAGCUUGAAUUUUUUUAGUAUCCAUCAUAAGUCCAACAUUUGAAAUGAUGUAUCUUAAAAAGUUGACUUGAUUAAUGUGAAAUACUCACUUUUUUAACUUGGUAUAGAGUCUUACAUCUCUUAGUUUUUGUGACACAUGACGAACAUAAAGUUCAUGUUCUUUUGUGUUCUUAGAUUAGAUUAAGAUGUUGUCUAGAUAACAGAUAAUAAAAUCACCUAAAAAUUCUUAAAAGACAUCAUUCAUUAAAUGUUAGAAUGCUGCUGGUGCAUUUAUAAGUCCAAAAGAUAUGACGUUGUAUUCAAAAUAUCCAUACCUUGUUUGAAAUGCAGUCUUCUAUUUAUCUUAUUUUUUGAUGCAUAUUAUAUUAUAUGUUCUUUAUAAAUCUAUAUUUAUAUAGAUCUUAGCUUGAUUCAACUGAUCAAAGACUCCAAAUACCAAAAAUAGCUAGUACUUGUUCUUGAUGGUGAUUUUGUUGAAUCCUCAAUAAUCGACACACAUCCGCAAUGAUCUAUCUUUUUUCUUCACAAAUAAAAUUGGAACUCUUGUUGGAGAUUUGGAAUGGCAUAUGAAGUUCUUAGCCAAAUUUUCUUCAAUAUACUCCUUGAGUUCAACUAACUCAUUUUGUGAUAAAUUGUAGAUUAGUCCAAAUGACAAUUGUGCUCUUUCUUGAAGGUCAAUUGAGUAGUCAUAGGAACGAUGUUCUAAAAGAGUAUCAACAUUUUUCUUUUUAAAUAUAUCUUGAAAAUCUUGAUAUUGGCUUGGAAUGCCACUUGAAGUCUUUCUACCAGUAGAAACAGAUGUGACAUAAAUGAUACAAGGUGAUCUUUUUUUUGCAAUUUACAAGAAAGCUCUUGCACCUAAAAAUACAAGUUUAAUUGUACUAAACUUAAGUCUUUCUACUUGAUUAACUAUGCUCUUAGUUAUACUUUGAGAAAAGUCAAGACUACAAGAAGUUCAAUCUAUUUUAGGGUUAUAUUUUUUUAGCCAUGAUAAAUCUAAAAUGAUUGGAUUAGAGAAAGAUCUAAUGAUAUUAAAUAUUACAAAGGUCCUAUGAUCAUUAGUUGCUACUUCUAUAAGAAGGGUUUCAUGAGUAAUAUCUCCUAAAGACAAUGGAUGACCAUCUAUGACUUCUACAUGAAUAGGUUUAGUUUUCUUCACUAAAAGUAUGUUGUGUCUUUUAGCAAAUUCUUCAUCUAAGAAACAUGCUGAGGCUCCUGAAUCUAACAAGGUAAAGGCUUUGUGAUGUUUAGGUCCUAAAAUAAUAUUUAUCGUAAAACAAGGAGAGGGUUCUGAGGAGAGAAUAGGACCUUCAAUAAGUGUUGUAUAAGGUUCUAGCCACAUGGUCCCUAUUAUAGCUAAUUUUUUUUUUUCUAAUAUACUAUCUUCUUUAAUAGCUGUACUUCUCAUUUUAUAGUUGCGUCACUUCUUUUGAUAAUGUUGAGCAGUGUGCUUAGGUUUUCUACAAUAAAAGUAUAAUCCUUCCUGAUGACGACAAGUAUUUUUUUAUUCAAUAAAAGAUUUAAAAUGUACUACAUCAAUUUGCAUAUCUUCUACUUUCGAAUGUAUGUGUUGAAGAAAUGUUGGUAUUGCCAUUGAAUUAUAGUAACGUUGAGGUCCACUUGUACAGUUCUCAAAUUGAAAUUAAAAAAUACGAUUGUCGCACUUCACAUCAAAGUUAAUUACUUGACUCAAUGUUUGAGGAUCAAGUAAAUUGAGCAUUAAUUUUUUUUUUAUGUCAUAUUAUAAUCUAUAGAAAAAUUGGCUAACAAGUAUAGCAUCAUCUUACUUAAUAUCAGUUAUAAGUUGUCAAAAUUAAGAAGCAUACAAUGCUACUGAUCAAUUGCCUUAUCGCAAAAUAUGGAUCUUAUUGGUUAUGACAUAAAUUGCAUCAUGCUCUCCAUACAUAGGUCAAAAUUCUACCAAAAAAGCCUCUAGAUUAUCCAAUAUUGGAUCUUUUUUUUAUAAAAAAGAUAAAAACUAUGAUAAUCUUGAACCUAAAAAAACUAUACCAAUGAAUCUAACUUGUGAUCUUAGAGUUGAAUAGCUUUGGUAUUGAAGUUCAAUAAUAAGUUGUACUUGAUUGAUAAAUCCUCUAAACUUUGAUCUAGUGCCAUCAAACCUCUUAAGUAGGGCAAUUCUUGGUUCUCUAACAUUGGAAGGAUUUUCCACCAUAAGAGAAGGGAUAUGAUUUGGUGCAAAUAUUGAAGCAGCUUCAAUCAUUUCUAUAUCUUCACUUCCUGCCAAUCUUGUUGCUCCUUAUGGUGGUAAAUUGAAUUGAUACAUCGCAAGCAUUAACUCUCUCAAUUGCUCUUGUAUUUGUGCCAUUGCACUAUUCAUUUCAGUAAAUUCUACCAUGAUAACACUUAAAAAAGAGAAGAUGUUUAAUAUCGCUCAAGACAAAUAAAAGAGAGGACUUGAGAAUAAAGAAAAUACUAAAAAUAAUAUCAAUUUAGAAGAGGAUAAUCCGCAAUUUCUAAUACGCUUAUGUCUUAUCAAGAGAAAAGGAUAAUCCACUCUUAAUCAAGAUUAGAUAAAGCUCUGAUAUUGUAAGUGGAUUCUUGUCAAUCUGUCAAGGACAAGAACUUGAUAAAAAAAAAUAAACAAAUGAGACUUUUUUCAAAGAAAGAUGAUAAAAUAGAAAUAACUAAAUAUGAAUAUUAAGAAAGAAAAUGGAAUGGCUAUUGCCAAAAGACAAGAAAACUAGAGAUCCUUGAAACUACACUAUAAGCAAGAAAGGAAUUGACAAGAGUGAAUAAGGCUUCACUCUUGCCUCUAUAUAUACUAUCAAUUUAGGAGCUACGUGGAAACAUUCUAUAAGACCUCCAAAAAUGUAUUGACUUUGCACAACAUAUACCUUAACUUACAAGGCAAGUUUUCUAUAUGGGCGCUAUAUAAUUAACUUGUUCCUCAAGCUACCAAUAUGUCUAGCACGUGGUUAACUUGUUGACUAAGUUUCUAACGCACUAAUAAAGUAUAAACACAUGUAAAGUCAAAGCAGUAUCUAUGAAGCUUCUAGGAAGCUUCUCUAAAAGAUAUUAUGAAAUUAAUCUACUUUUACUUACUUCUACCUAUUCAUAUCUCUUAGAUAACAAUUACAGUAAAUAUAUGUCCGUGACACUAGUGUAACAACUUUAGAUCAUUUAUCAAAAGUCAUAAAUCUCUUAAAUAAGAUCUAUCUAUACUCUUUUAAGUAUUUAUGACAAUGCUUGAAUAUUAUAACAAAUGAUUUAUAAAAAUAUAAUUCUAUAUAUCUACAAAUUUAUAUAAAAAAAUUUAUUCUAAAAAUAUAUAUAUAUUUUGCUUUCAUACAAUUAGAGCUUCCAUACCAUCCACAUUUGAGAAUUUAAUUGAAAGUAAUCUUAAUUAUCUAGUCAUCAUUGUGAUGGCCUUACACAUGACUUUACUUUUCAAAUCUUAUGAAAUGACAUUUGUCUUAGGACAAAAUAAUACAAAAUAUAUGUAGUAGUAUUGAUAUUUCACACUAUAUAUUUUUUUUUAUUUUCUUUUUUUAUAAUAUUAUUUAUCUUUUGUUGUAAUAGUCUUAAAAAAAUAAUAAGAAAAUUCAAAUUUGAACUAUGUCUUCACAUUGCCUAUUGAAAUGGUAGGCAAAUAUGAUUUAUUUGCCAAUAUUUAAUAUCAUUAUAUCCAUUUCAAAGCAUUGGCAAUGCUUUAUGUUUAAAGUAAUAAAAUCAAAAGAAAUAUUUUUUCAUGUCAUUCCUUUGUGGUAAAUGUGUUAAAAACAUAUAUUUAUUAUAAUUAUUACCUAGAUAAUAUAAAUAGAUAGAAAUAAGUAAAAAUAGAUUAAUUUCAUAAUAUCUUUUAAGAAAGCUUUCUUGAAGCUUCAUAAAUGCUACUUUGUCUUUACAUGUAUUUUUACUUGAUUGGUAGAUUAAAAACUUAGUCAAUAAGUUAACCAAGUGUCAAAUUUUGUCCUGAUGUAAAUCAGCUAGUAGGUAAAAGGAUGAAGAAAAUAUCAUAUUUUUCUUAUUUCAAAUAUAUUAUAACAAAUUAUCUAAAAAAAUUAGAUAUUUUAUUGUAAAUAUAAAAAUUAUCUAGAAAAAUUAGAUAUUUAUACCUAAAAAAGGCCAGUUAUGAAUUAGGAUCAAAAUCAGAUCCCUAGGCACAAAAACGAGCUCCUAUGAUGAUUUCGGGAUUCUUUGGCAGAUUAAAGAGUGGAAUUAGAAAGCAAACUUCAUAGGAUUUUGAUGAGCAUUGGUUUUGGAUGAUUUGAAUUUUUAUUGACUUUGUAAGAGCUUUGCAAAGUCAGGGUUUAUUUUGGAUGACUCUGGAUUUGUAAAAUAAAGUACGUGAUAUUUUUUGGAGAAUUUUAUAAGUUUUGCAAAAGAUCUAUAGAUGAAAUUUUAAGUGUUUGUGGGUUUAUAUGUGUUCAAUAUAUGUUGUGAAUUUGAGCUAGUUCAAAGGAUUAGAUCAAGGAUUAUUGAGGUUUAAAAAGAUCAAGGUCUCAAAAAAUAGAGCUUUAGAUCUAGUAAGGGUUUCUAAGAUUUCUUACAAUUUAUUAGUUGGAUUGGAGUGAAAAUUAUUUCUAUGAGUAGUAGACUUGUUUUUUAUGUAUGUGAGAAAUUUGAGAUCAAUUGAAUGAUUUGAUAAGGAGAUAUUGGCAUUGAAAAUUCAACAUUCAGAUUGGAGAAGGAAGCUAGCCAACAUCCAUGCAAAUAUUAGGGUUGAUCUUCUUUUUGAUAAGUUUGAUCUUCUUAAAAAAAAAAUUCUUGUUUUCAACUUAAUUUUGAAGAAGUGUACAAAAUUUGAGUUAAAAUCAAUGGUUCAUUCAUUAGUAAUUGAGAUUUAAAUGUGCUAUAGAAAUUACUUGAAAUUAUUUAAAGUUUGGUUAGGAUAUGUUAAGGAUUUGAUUAGGAUUUGGUUAAGAUUUUAUUAGAUUUAUUUAGAUUUUGUUUAGAAUUUGGUUAGGAUUUAUUAGGAUUUAUUUAGAAUUUGACUAAAAUUUAUAUAGGAUUUGAUUAAGAUUUGAUUAAGAUUUGGUUAGGAUUUGUUUAGGAUUUGAUUAAGAUUUAGUUAGGAUUUAUUAUGGUUUUACUAGAAUUUGGUUAGGAUUUGACUAGGAUUUAUUUAGGCUUUGAUUAAAAAAAAUUUAGGAUUUAUUUAGGAUUUGACUAGGAUUUGGUUAAGGUUUAUUUAGAAUUUGAUUAGGAUUUGAUUAGGAUUUAUUUAGGAUUUUAUUAAGAUUUGAUUAGAAUUUUUUUAGAAUUUUAUUAGGAUUUAUUUAGGAUUUAUUUAGGAUUUAUUUAGGAUUUAUUUAGGAUUUAUUUAGGAUUUUAUUAGGAUUUUAUUAAGAUUUAUUUAGUAUUUUUUUAGGAUUUUAUUAAUAUUUAAUUAAGAUUUCUAUUUUAAUAUUUUAUUAAUAUUUCUAUUUUAGUAUAUUUUUGAAUUUUUAUGUUAUUUCUUCAUGAUUUCUUUAAAAGGUCUUUAGGAAUACUUUGUGUU
RNAcentral lists this long non-coding RNA (57653 nucleotides) under Physcomitrium patens. RNAcentral describes it as "long non-coding RNA (PPAT_LNC000369)". The record is from RNAcentral. Lineage: Eukaryota; Viridiplantae; Streptophyta; Bryopsida; Funariales; Funariaceae.